AUCAGGAUCCCCUCGAACCUCAAAACUGCCGUCCUUAAAGCUGGCGCCAAAUUUGGUGGCCAAUUCAACUCUCUGUCGUAAUCCUCCCGCCUUCAAGGCCUUGCCCAGAAGGAUUUCGUUGGUGUGGGGUCCAUAGACAUCAGAGGUGUCGAGUAAAGUGACCCCGGUGUUGACGGCAUGGUUGAUGAGGGCGAUCAUGUCCGAUUCAGGCUUUGGAGGGCCGUAGCCGAAAGACAUGCCCAUGCAUCCAAGUCCCUGUGCUGAUACUUCAAGACCCUGUGACCCCAGCUUGAUCCUUUUCAAUGUUGCCAUCUCUCUUGUUCUUAAGAACUCUAUUGUUAAUUGACACAAUGGCGAAGCAGUUGAAACGAAACCGCAAUAAAUAGAGAAAGGGUGUGCGAGCGCGCGGACGAGACUAAUAUCUAACGUCAGCACCCACGUACUGGAAGUAGCACAGGAUUGUUUGGGAAUUUGAUUUGUCGUUUUUAAAAUAUUUUUUUAUUUAAAAAUAUAUUAAAAUAAUAUUUUUAACACUCAUAUGUAAAUUCAAUCUACUUUAUCAAUAAACAAAUUCAGCUUGGAAUUAUCGCAGGAACUGAAAUUGAUGUUUCAGCUAACCGAUCCAUUAUAAGAGCAGCCGUUCACUUGAUGGAUGCAUUUCAAUUGUGAGCCGCCAACUUAAAAAAAUUAAAAAAAAUAUUUAAAAUUUUAAUAUUUCAUAUAAAAAAAUAAAAAAUAAUUUAUAUAAAUAUAAGUUAUAUAUAUUAUAAACAAUGAAGUUUAAAAUAUUAUUUGAAAAAAUUUUUUUAUUCAAAACAUAAUAUUCUUUAUAUAAAAUAGUUUAGUAAUCUCAAGUCCAAUAAUCAGUUACACAACCGUCCCAUUAAUAUUUUCUUAGAUAUAUGUGAUCAUUUUAUAUGAAAUUUUUAUGCAGAUCAGUUCAAUAUACAUGUUUUAUGACAAACACUUAUAUAUUAGUUUUAGAUUUUUCUUGUACCUUAACUUAUGAGAACAACUGUUUCCUUUCAUAAAAAAAAAAAAGAACAUAAUAUGUACAAUUCUCUACGACUCUAAUAAAUAUCUAGUGUUUAAGAGAACAUCGACCAAGAACAUUUUAAGAAUAAUGUUUUGAUGCAAUAAUAAUCUCAUAAUUAUAACAACUUUAUAAUUUUCUUUGUAAAGUAUUUUUGUCAUAUGAAUUUUAUUUUUACAGUAGAUUUAUAAAUCAUAUGUUAAAUUUAUUAAUCUAAUAUUAUAUAAAUAUUAAAUACAAAUUAACUCUUUAUUAAUAAUAAAUAUAUAUUUAUACAAAUAUAAUAAUAUUAUGUGUAAUUAGUUAAUUGACUAACUUAUCGGCAAUGGCAUGACUCUCUCUAUCUCUUCUAGACACAUUGAAAUUCCAACGCAAACGCCAUUGACAUGCAAAUGCUUAGACUAUAUUAUAUACAUAAUUCAAUUAGUGCAUGAUCACAAAUUCCGCAACUUGUUCUCCACUAUGCAUAAAGCAUAGAUUUUAAAUCCAAGUAUGGGCUGGAAGAUUUACAUGGAAAACUUGUAAUUUCAAGUUUAAUAAAAAACAAUAUUAUUGAUGUUAUAGAUAUUAUUAUUUUUAGUAUAAUUAAUGGUAUUAAUAUUAAAAAAAAUAUUAUUUUUAUUAUUUGUGUUCUAAAUAUUUUGUUUUUUAUAAUUAAACGUAUUCAUAUCAAAUAUAUUAUUAUUUGUGUUAUAAUUUUUUGUUUAUAAUUCAACAUAUUCAUAUUAAAGAUAUUAUUAUUUGUGUUAGAAAUAUUGUCGGGUUUCUAAAUAUAAUUAUCUGUGUUAUAAAUAUUAUUGUUUUUAUUAUAAUUCAACGUAUUCAUAUUAAAGAUAUUAUUAUUUGUGUUAUAUUAUUAUUAUUUUUAUUAUAAUUCAAAGUAAUAAUAUAAAAAAUAUUAUUUCUUGUAUUAUAAAUAUUCUUGGAAUUCUUAAUAUAAUUAUUUGUGUUAUAAAUAUUAUUAUUUUUAUUAUAAUUCUAAAUUAUCAUCUCUAAAAUAUGAUUAUUUGUGUUAGAAAUAUUGUUGGGUUUACAAAUAUAAUUAUUUGUGUUAUAAUUAUUAUUAUUUUUGUUAUAAUUCAAAGUAUUAAUAGAAAAUAUAUUAUUAUUAUUUGUGGUAUAAAUAUUAUUAUUUUUAUUAUAAUUCUCCUGGUUGCUGAACCAAUUGGCCUUGGGUUCUUUGUCAGGAUCUAAUUGGAUUGGGUCUGCGGUCGGACCCAUUUCUCUUGGGUCCUGUGGCCGGACCCGUUUCGCUUGGGUCUUGCCUCAGAUAUGUUAGUAUAUUAUUCUUUUAAUUUAAAAUAUUUAAAUAAUAUAUAUAUAUAUAUAUAUAUAUAUAUAUAUAUAUAUAUAUAUAUAUAUAUAUUAAAGAACUUCAAAUCCCACAUUAAAAAAAUAAUUUUUUUCUAUAAUAAAUCAAUCUAUAAUAAAAGGAUAAAAAAAUAAAAUCAUAUCAGACUUAAGUAAAGAGACUGAGAUUACCCUGUAGAAAGACAAACACAAAAGAAGAGAGAGUAGAAUAUCCAAAUACAAAACAAUCUCAAAUCCAAGAAAUGUAGACCAAAUUUAGUAUAAAAACUAAAUAAAGAAAAAUAAUUAGAGACUAAAUUCAAAAAAUAAAUAAAUUAAGAUACUGAGGGAUAUAAUUGAAAAAAAUAGAUAAAUAAAAAGAAUAAGAAAAUAGCAAUAAAAAAGAUGACCAAAAUUGGAUAAAAAAUUAAAUGCAAUAAAAUGAUUAGGGAUGAAAUUGAAAAAACUAAAAAAAUCAAGAAAAGGAUAAAACACCAAAAAAGAGUAAUCAAAUUAAUGAGGAUCAAAUUAGAUAUAAAAAUUAAAUGAUAUAAAAUUCUCAGAGAUGAAAUAAAUAAAAAACUAAAAAUACAAAAAAAUAUUAAAAGCAACACAAAUAGUAAUUAAGAGAAUGAGGGUCAAGAUUAAUAGAAAUACAAAAUAAGGAUAUUUUGUUUUUGGAUGGGCUGACAUAAAUUUUUAGGUUAGGAGAAAGAAAUUAAAGAAGGACAAAAAAAAACUUGCUAGGAGCCAACCGUGUCUCCUCCAGAAACACGCACCACACUACUAGAAAGAGAAAGAUGAGCCUCUCCUAACGCUUCCUUAUAUGGUGGAAUUUGAUAGUCGGAAAGGCCCUAUAUGCGCCUCUCGCGGGAACUGUCAUGCACUAAUGCGUCAACAAUUUUUUUUUAUAAUAAUAUUUAGUCUUUUAAAAUGACAAAACAACCUUUAGACCAACCCAAAAAUAACAAAAAAAACUAUAAGUAAAAACAAAAAAUAUCCUUGAAAUCAGAUGUAUAAGUUUUUAAUUUUAAGGGUAAUACUGUAACUUUAUUGUUCAAAAAACUGAAAAUACAAAAAAAAACCCCUAAUUUAAUGGUUAUUUUCUCUAAAAGACAUAAGUGAAGUUUUAUUGUGCAAAUAAUAAUAACAAGACAAAGUAAUUUAACAGUGCAAAAAAAAGUGUACUAACCAAUUUAUCCCAACCAAUUUUGUAAUGCCUAAUGGAUUUAUUAGAAAAGACAAUUCGACCCCUACCAGCCAUGCUUUUGGUUUGUGUGGAGAAGGGAAAAAAACAAUUUAUAUGCUAAUCCAUGAUGAAUUGUGUCACAGCUAUAAUAAAUAAAUGUUUGAUCUCUUUUUUUAUUUUAUUUUAUAAUUCACUAUUUUAAGUGCAAUAGGUGUUGUAUUCAUUUCCUUGUUAUUUUAUGUAGAAUUUCAAUUCAAUUUAUAAUGUAAGAGAAGGAAGUGUUUGCAUUAUAUCAUGAUUUUUCUUAAUUGAAAAAUGAAAAGAUAAUGUAUAAUAGAAUAAAUUGAAAAAUAUAUAUGAAUUGAUAAAUUGAAAAUGAAAAGAUAUAUAUGUUUUUAAAUUUCAUAAUGCUUUGAAGAGAUUAUUAUAAUUUAUCUACCAUUAUUUUUAUUUUUAUUUUAUGUAAGUGAGUUGUAUUUACAUGAUAUUUUUUUAAAAAAACAAAAAUAGUUUGUUAUUAGUAACAAAGAUAAAAUAAAUUAAAAAAAUUAAAAAAAUCAAUAUAAAAUAUUUAUACAUACAUCAAUCUCUUACUUUAUAAAAAAUAAAUAUACAAAACUGACAUAAAUAUAAACAAACUCAAAAUCUUAUUUUUCUCCCGCGUAUAGAAGUUCUGCUCACUCUCAACAAUUAUAAAAUUCUAACAAGACAAAGUAAUUACGAAAGACCAGCUUUCUAUAGCAAAGCAAAAACACAGAAUUAAUGGUAAAAUUAAAUUAUGGGGAAAAAACAUAUAUCUCUACAGAUGGUGUGCAAAUUUGAUAGAAACCGAUAUGCAAGAACACUUGAUGAAUACUGAAUUGUAUGUCAAUCAUGAAUGAACAAUCGUUUGGCUUUAUAUAGCCUUUACAAUACUGCAGGGUAACUAAUAACUGCUGCCCCGUGAUCCAAGGAAUCAGUUUGUUAGCUAAGAAUUGAACACUAACAAACUUACCUGACUUGACUAAUUGCCAGCUAGAUUAACUAACUAACAACUUUAACAUAUUUAGCUAACAGUAAUAGUGACAGUUAUGGAAUACUUCUCAACAUUCUUUCCUUUAAACUAAUUCUGUGUAACAAUUAGUUUACUUCAGGCAUCACACAGACUCCUAUUUGUUCUCGAAGGUCUUUAAAUGUCUGUAGUUUAACUGGUUUUGUCAGCAGGUCAAUUAUUUGAUCUUGUGAGCCACAAUGCACAAGUUCAAUGACCUUGUCUCGAGUUAAAUCACGUAAGAAAUGGAAUCUCACAUCAAUGUGUUUGCUGCGUCCAUGCAUAAUGGGGUUUCUUGAGAGCUUGAUGGUUGAACUGUUAUGUAACACCCCACCUUACUAGCAAGAUAUUGUCCGCUUUGGGCCUCUUAGUCCACCCAAAUCCAGGGCUUCCACCCUUGUCCCCCUUUCGGGUUUGUUCUUAGCAGUCACGCAUGGCCCCAAAACGCGUCUUACUAGUCAAGGUGAGCAUGCACUUAUAAGGCCCUUGCUCUGGACGCUCGCUUCUGAUGUGGGAUCUUACAAUCUCCCCACCUUAAGACGAGUCGUCCUCGGCUUUGAUACCAAAUGUAACACCCCACAUUACUAGCAAGAUAUUGUCCGCUUUGGGCCUCCCAGUCCACCCAAAUCCAGGGCUUCCACCCAGGUCCCCCUCACGGGUUUGUUCUUGGCAGCCACACAUGAACCUAAAACGCGUCUUACUAGUCAAGGUGAGCAUGCACUUAUAAGGCCUUGGCUCUGGACGCUCGCUUCCGAAGUGGGAUCUUACAUGUUAUCACACAUUAAGAUGGUGCAACCUUUUUGUUCAUGAUUUAACUUCUCCAGAAUCCUUCUCAUCCAUACUGCUUGACACGCACAAGCUGCUGUUGCCACGAAUUCUGCUUCAGUUGUUGACAGAGUAACUAUAGACUGCUUCUUUGAUGACCAUGAAACUGCUCCACUCUAGUCGAAUGUACUCUUUCUGUCUGUAAUGUCUCCUGCAUAGUCAUUAUCAGUGUAUGCAAUCAGCUGCUUGUUCUCAUUCUUCUUGUAGAAUAUACCAUAAUUGAUGGUGCCCUUCAAGUAUCUUAAUAUUCUUUUAGCAGCUUGUAGAUACACUUCUGUUGGACUAGCCAUAAACCUGCUAAUAAAACUCACCCCAAACAUGAUAUCUGGCCUUGUAGCAGUGAUAUACAUAAGACUUCCUACUAUCUGUUUAUAGUAAGUCUCAUCGAUUUUUUUUCCUUCUCCAAUUUUGUCAGUUUUGAAGCCAGGGACUAUGGGAUUCAUUACUGCCUUACUUUUUUCCAUUCCAAACCGUUUCAGAACCUCUAGUGUAUAUUUCCGUUGACAGAUAUAGAUUCCAUUAGUCUGUUGCAGUACUUCUAUGCCUAAGAAGAACCUUAUUCUUCCUAGAUCAGUCAUGUCAAAUACCCUCAUCAUUGAUUGUUUGAAUUCCAGCAUCAUCUGUUUAUCAUCUCCAGUGAAAAUCAAGUCAUUCACAUAAACACUCAUAAUAAGGAUUCUGCCUCCACUGGUUUUAACAAACAAAGUUUGUUCACUGAUGCACUUCUGAAAUCCUUCAUGGGUGAAGUAAGCUUCAAUUCGACUAAACCAAGCUCGAGGGGCUUGUUUUAGUCCAUACAAAGCUUUGUGUAAUUUGUAGACCUUGUGCUCAUUUCCUUUCUGCUCAUAUCCUUUUGGUUGUUCUACAAAUAAAUCCUUACUUAAUUCUCCAUGCAGAAAAGCCGACUUAACAUCUAAUUGAUAGAUGAGCCAACCUUUUUUAGCAGCUAGUGCAAUGAUCAGCCGAACAGUGUCCAUUCUUACCACAGGAGCAAAUACUUAUGUGUAAUCCACACCAUGUUGUUGAGCAUAACCCUUUGCAACUAACCUGGCUUUGAGCUUAUCCACUUUACCAGACUCAUUUAUCUUGGUCUUGUAUAUCCAUUUCACCCCAAUCUUCUUAGUUCCAGCUGGUAAUUCAGUUAAACUCCAUGUCUCAUUCUUCUGAAUUGACUCCAUUUCAGUAUCCAUGGCUUCCCUCCACUUGUAACUUUUUACUGCCUUUUCAUAACUCACGGGGUCAUCAGAAGUUACAAUUGCCAUAUUCAAUUCAGUUUCUUCUUCUGACAGUCCUUCACCAGAGACAUAGUCUCUCAUCCAACUGGGCAUAAUUGUCUCCCUCCUUGUAUGCAGAUUGACAUCUUCUUCAUAUAUUGUGUUGGCAGGAGCAUUGCUGGAUUCUUCAAUGCCAUCCCAAUUUGACUCUGCACCUGAGUUUGCAAUAUUAUGCCCAAUUACCUCUGCAUCUCCACUACUGUUUGCUUCAUCUCCAUCAAUUUCACCUUCUUCUCCCCAUUCUAAGUUCAUUUGUAACUCCUCUUUAUAACUGACAUCCCAGUCCCAGUGUUUCUCUUCUUCAAAGAUUAUGUCCCUGCUAGUUAUAAUUUUCUUUGUUACAGGGUCAUACAAUCUAUAGCCUUUUGAUUCUUCGCUUACUCCCAACAGUAUACAGCGUACACUCUUGUUUUCCAGUUUGGUUCAUCUUACAUUUGGUAUAUGCACAUGAGCUACACAUCCAAACACUCUAAAGUGUUUAACUGAGGGCUUCUUUCCAGUCCACACUUCUUCUGGAGUCAUGUCUUUUACAACAUUAGUAGGGCAUCUGUUCAAUACAUAUAUGAUCCAGUUUACUGCCUCAACCCAGAAGCUUUUAGGAAUCUUCUUUUCUGAAAGCAUUGAUCUUACCAAGUUCAUUACUAUACUAUUCUUCCUCUCAGCCACUCCAUUUUGUUGAGGGGUGUAGGCUGUAGUUAGCUGUCUUUUGAUGCCAUUCUGCUUACAAAACUCAUUGAAUUCCAGUGAGUUGAAUUUACCACCUCUAUCUGUUCUUAUACACUUGAUGUAUUGUCCAGUUUCUUUUUCAACAAGCUUCUUAAAGUACUGGAAAUGCUGGAGAGCUUCUGAUUUUUCUGCUAGGAAAUAAACCCAGGCCUUUCUGCUAUAGUCAUCAAUGAGACAUAAGAAAUACCUUUUCUUGCUGUUUGAGGUUGGUGUGAUUGGGCCACAUAUGUCUGCAUGGAUGAGUUGUAACCUUUGUGAUGCACGUCAUUGACUCUUCUUUGGAAAAGAUUCUCUGUGCUGCUUGCCAGUAAUACAAGCAGUGCAUUCUGUAGUUGAUGCAGGGAGCUGUGGUAGUCCUCGAACCAUCUUCUUAUAUUGCAAGGUUCUUAGUCCUUUGUGGCUGAGAUGGCCAUAUCUGCAAUACCAUAAAUAUGACACAUCUUGUGCAUGUGUAUGGAAACAAGAAACAUCUUUGACUUGAGCCUUUGCUAUUAGCAUAAACAUCUUGUUGACUGUCAUUCUGGUUUGAAUGAUCAGGCCUCUCAUAGGAUGAUAAAUCUUGCAUAUUCCUGAUUUGAUAAGGAUUGCCAGACCCUUUUCUUGUAGCUGGCCUAUGCUUUAGGAGGUUAUUCUUUAGUUUAGGUACAUAGAAUACAUCAGUAACCAUGUACUGCAUGCCAUCCAAAAACAACUUGACUUUUCCUUUUCCAAGAACUGUCAUUCGUGUAUUAUUCCCAAGCUUUACCAGUUGUCUAAAUUCUUCAUUUAAUUCAUAGAGCAUAUCCUUGUCUCCACACAUAUGGUUUGAGCAGCCAGAGUCCAAAAACCAUGCAUCCUCUCGAUUGUUGUCAUACAAUUCCACAUGAGACAUCAAUAGAAUUUCUUCUUCAUUGUUCAGUUCUGCAUAAUUUGCCUCCUUGCUCAUUGUGGGACAUUCAUACUGAAAAUGGCCAAGUUUGUGACAUCUAUAACAUUCAACAGUGGUUUUGUCAAAGGUAUAUUGUUCUCUACCUCUUCCUCCUUUUCUGAAAGCUCGUCUGCCUUGUCCUCUGCCAUAUAACCUUUCUUCAGAUGUCACCUUCAAAGCUUGUUCUACCAUGCUGUGUUUCUGAAAUUUUUGUUCAUGUACAAUCAAUGAGCUUCGUAACUCAUCAAUUGAGAGAACAUCAAUGUCUCUAGAUUCUUCAAUUGAGCAUACUAUGUAAUUGAAUCUGUCAGUCAAGGAUCGAAGAAUCUUCUCCACAAUCGUUACAUCUCGCAUUUGCUCCCUAGAGGUUCUUAUUUUGCUGGCUACAGUCAUAACCUUUGCAAAAUAGUCAGUGAUAUUCUCACCUGUUUUCAUCUCUAGUGUUUCAAACUCCUUCCUUAGUGUUUGAAGGAUUGAACGCUUCACUCUUGCAUUUCCUUCAUAUUUCCUUCAUAUUUCCUUUUCAUUGAGUCCCAAAUUUGUUUAGAGGUGUUCUUCUCCAGAAUAGUUUCAAGUAUGGUUCUGUCAAUGGCCUGAAAUAGGUAGUUCUUCACUUUCAGAUCUUUGAGUUUUAACUCCUCUAAUUUGUUUUGUUGUGUUUCAGUCACACCUACUCCUUCCUCUGGCUCUAUGUAGCCAGUUUCAACCAAGAUCCAGAAUUCCUUGGAUCUCAAGAAAUUCUCCAUUAGCAUGCUCCAGUGAUAGAAAUGACCAUCAAAGCACGACAUGGAUGGUUGUAUAAAAUUGAUGUUAUUGUCAUUCGCCAUCUCUCAGUUUGACUCUCUUUUGUUUUGUAGAUUUCAACAGAAAAACAAAAUCAACUGCAACUUUCUUUUCCUCUCCCUGUAGCUUUCUCUUUCUCUUCCUUUGUUUUGCUCUGAUACCAAUUUGAUAGAAACCGAUAUGCAAGAACACUUGAUGAAUACUGAAUUGUAUGUCAAUCAUGAAUGAACAAUCAUUUGACUUUAUAUAGCCUUUACAAUACUGCAGGGUAACUAAUAACUGCUGCCCCGUGAUCCAAGGAAUCAGUUUGUUAGCUAAGAAUUGAACACUAACAAACUUACUUGACUUAACUAACUGCCAGCUAGAUUAACUAACAAACAACUUCAACAGAUUUAGCUAACAGUAAUAGUGACAGUUAUGGAAUACUUCUCAACAAAAUUAACUCCCACAAUCUUAGAGCACCUGCAAAGGUAACUGAAAUCUACAAGUGCCAGCAAGAUAACAGACAUGACAACAUUCUUUUAUAUAGCUUUCCAUGAUGAAAGAGGUGGAGUGUCUGAAUUCCUGUAUGUAAGCAUGAAAACCUCGUACCUAUCACCCUGAACAACACCUGCAGAAGCGAUGGAUUCGAGUUCCGCCAUUUCAUCUGGUGUUAUUUCACGUUGCCUGUUAUGCUCCAGAUUUUCUGGACGGAACCUAGGCAGAUCCUGAGACAAUUAAUGCAACACAAUUUCAGAAGCUAAGCUUCAGAAAACUCAUCAAAAAGGAAAUCAUCGUAGGUGUAAAGUUUAUGCAAGGCGUUCCAUAUGCACUUGUGACAUUCCUUUUCUAACUAUAAGGUCUUAUGCUACGACAACUGGUUAUUUACUGCGCAAGUACUAGUCGGAAACUUAAUUUUCACAAAGAAGCGUACCGACCUUUCAAAUGUCACCCUCUGAAAAGCUCUUAACCAGCUUAGGCCCCGAUGAAAGGAAUCCCCGUCCUAGGGGACUGUAGGCAACAAUCCCAAUGCCAAGUUCUCUUAUAAAUUAGAAUGAUAAAUUUCAUGGCAUGCAAGGCGGAAUGACGGGUUUUUCUCUAAAUAGAAGAGGUUUUGAAUUUGAUCAUAAAUUGUGAUUUUGAAGGAGUUGUUGUCUGUUAUUAUUUUACUAAAAAACUUAUUGGUUUGCGAGAGUUUAAGUAAGAGGACCAGUUGUAUAAGAAAAAGACACAUCAAUCCAGUGCACCUUAUCUAUGGUAAGUUACAUUAUUAAUUGAUUGUUAUUUUAAAUCAUGUUUCUAUUUGUUGGUCUCAUCUAAGGUUCGAGGUAAAUCUUCUUUCAUGAGAAAGUCUCUAUCCUAUCGGGUUAAAUCCUAACCAUUUUAGUAUCACAUUUAUUUUUUACUUUGUAUCUUUAAUAUCUCAGUAUAUACUUUACAAUGUAAUUUUAUACCCUUAAAUAAUAAAAUCUAGAACUAAUUUCUAAUGUUUAUUGCUAUUAACUCAUUUAAUUUAAUAUUGGAAGCAUGCAUUACGUUGUAAAAUUCAUAUUCUGAAUAUUAAUUAAACAAAUUACUUUUUGUGGUAUUUUUGAGAUUUUGACUAAAUCUUAAUGAACAAUCAUAAAUCGAUUACAAUAUUUAUCUUGUAUUUUUAAAACAUGAUAAAAAUAUAAUUUUUUUUGAAAAUAUAUGUGAAAAGAUUUUUAGAAUUUGGCCAUAUGCACGUGAACAAAACAUAUAUAUUUUUUUAUUUUUGAAAGGAGGAUGUUUUUGAAUUUUUGGAGCAAAAUUAGGUAUUUUUAAUACGAGUCAGUAUCAUACAGUGUAAGUCUAUAACCUGAUAUUAGAUAAAAUUAUUGAAAAAACACACGAGAGACCCAUAAAUAAUUUUAAAAUGAUCCUUGAAUUGUUUCCUACUUUUCCGAACUAGUUUAGGGCAUGUUUGACUAAAUACUAUAAUAAGGACACGAUAAAGAUAAAGCUAAGUUAAAGGAAAUGGUAGGAGGACGUGUUUGCUAAACGUGUCCUUAUCCUAAAAUCAAAGGCAUUGAAAAUACUUUAAGGCUGUGUUUGACAAACAUGUCUUAAAAAAAGGCAUUUUUCCUUUGGUAAAAAUAGGGCAUGCUAAACACACAUUUAAGGUUGGGUUGAGUUUGGCCCAACCACAUGGGCUGGGCUUAUUGGACUCGAGGCCGAAGCUUAACCCGAUUUUGGGCCAACAGACGGCCCAACAAGCUUCUUCUCCUUUUUGUAUAUAUAUGGACUGGACCCAGCCCAGUCGCGCAGGCUAGGCUUGGAUUUGGCCCAUUCAGCUUUGUUAGUGGUCCAACCCAGUGACAUUACCUUCACUAGCAAAUGCAAACAACAUAACGUGAAUUAUUUCACAUUUUGCAUGCACAAAAAGAUGUACUAUAUGUUUUAAAAGGACGAAGAACUCAAGCGAUUCCCAUGAACAAAAACCAUUUUGAUGCUAGUUUAAAACAAACAUAUUUUAAAAAGAACUUGGGUGAUUCCCAUAGAUAAGGUUUCUUGAAGGUUGACUUUCUCUAUGGUAUUGAAGCGUUCAUUUUACUUGUAUGAAUAAUAAAGCAUAAUCAAAGUUUCUUGAAAAGCUUAUUUCACAUGGGAAAGCAUCGUUUACCAAUCCAGAUUGCUUGCCUUUGAUUAAAAAAAGCUUUAUUGGGCAUGCAACGUAGGAUUUGGCUUUUGGUAAUGAAAGAAAAGGAUAUUUGUAGGCUUAAAAGGUGUUUAAGAGAUCUUAAGAUCAAUGAUCACUAAAUCUCGUUUCCAAACCUUACUUUUUGGUCAAAUGAUUCCUAGAUUUUAGGGUUGACUUUGCAAAAUAGUUUAGCAUGCCCCCAAUGUUUAGACUAUUUGACUUUGAGUGUCAUCAUCAUACUAAUUAUUUUCAUUUUGCAUGGCAUGCUCAACCUUUUUGAAUCUUUGAAUUUCUUCAUGCUCUUGCUUUGUUUGGGCACCUUUGAUAAUUGAGGAUUAUUUUGUAUAUUCUUGCGGUCAAAUUGCUUUUCUAAUCUUGGUACGUUCCCCCAAUAUGGGGUAUGAUCCUAGUCAUUGUUGUUUUGCAAGAAAGACUUACUAGGCUCAAUGAGGACUUGCAAAUGAUAUUUUUUAAAAGUAUUGUGAAAGAAUUAUAAAAAAUGACAUUCUCCCAUUUCAAACAUAUGAGUUUAGGAUUAGUAAGCUUUGCUUUCUUUCAUUGUGAUUGUUUGGUCAUGCAAAAUUGUUUUCAUCAUAAUUAAAUUAUGAUUGUUAUUCAGCCAACUAAAACUCAGCUUCAAAGUCAUUUAAAUGGUUUGGUUACCUCACUAGGAGAUCACUUGAACUCGCAAAACUCACUUGUAAAAAGCGAACACUAAUUUGACCUCUGUAUUUGUACUAAUAACUUUGAUUUUCCAAAAAAUAUUUUAUAAAAACACAAAAAAUAAGGUUUUUUGAGCAUAUGAGAUCAUGUAAAGCUUUUUAAAGUUUACAAAAAGAAAGUGCACCAAAACAUUCCUGGCCAAACUUUGAUCUUUAUUGAUAUAUCAAUAAAGUACAUCAUGCAUAAUACUUCUUUAUAAUGUUAGAGUUUACAGGGUUAGGUAAAUCAUCUUCGUCCAUCUUGUUCAAAACCAAGGCUUCUCUAGGAAAGGCUUUAUUCACCACAUAUAGUCCUUCAUAUUUCGAUGCUUAUUUGCUCUGAUCUUCUCCUGAUGUUGGCAAGAUCUUUUUCAAUACUUGGUCUCCUUCUUUGAAUACCCUUGUUCUGACUCUCUUGUUGCAUGCCUUAACCAUUCUACUCUGGUAUAGUUAAUGAUGACAAAUUACUACCAAUCUUUUCUUGUUGAUCAAACUCUACUACUCAAAUUUCAAAUUUGCAUAUUCUGAUUCUUCUAGUUUUGCAUCAUUUAGAACCCAUAAUGAUAGAAUUUCCACUUUUAAAGGUAUCAUCGCUUUCAUCCCAUAUACCAAAAAGUAAAGGGUUGCACCUGUAGAAGUUCUAACUGUGGUGUAAUAUGAGUAAAGUACGUAUGGAAGCAUCUCGUGUUAGUUGUUGUAGGUUACUAUCAUUUUCUGGAUGAUCUUUUUAAGAUUUUUGUUGGCUGCCUCGACAUCACCAUUCAUCUUGGGUAUGUAAAGAGAAGAAUUAAAGUGCUUAAUCUUACACUUGGUGUAGAGUUUAACAAUUAUCUUCUCAUUAAAAUUUUGAGCAUUAUCAGCUAACAAUUUUGCUAGCAUGCCAUACCGACAAAUCAAAUCUUUCUUGAUGAAUCUCUUGACCAUUUUUUAUGUCACAUAUGCAUAAGAGUUGGUUUCUAUGCCCAUUGAUGGCAUUCAAAUUGAUUGGUUCUAUGACAUCUAAUCUCUAUAUAUUGAAAGGCCAAGGUGAGGUCAUGUUGAAUAGGGGUGCCGAAGGUGUAUUUAUAUUAUCCCUAUAUAUCUUACACUUAUGAAAUUUUGUAAUAUAGUUAACACAAUCACUUUUCAUAGUCAAUCAGAAGUAUCUAAAUCACUGCAUUUGUCUUAUCAUUGUAUGCCUAUUAACAUGAGUAACACAAAUUCCCUCAUGAACCUCUUGUAAAGCUUGCUCAACCUAUUUCUCAUUCAAACACUUAAGUAAAGUCCCGUUGAAUGACCUUCUAUAUAAGAUUUCACAAUCCAAGUUAUAAUCCAUGGUCAUCCUUCUCAAAGUCUUUUCAUCCAUCUUGGAGGCUCUUAGAGGAUAUUCUUGAUGCUGGAUAACCUCAUGAUAUCAUUGUACCAUGGUUUUUAAUUUGUUGUCUCUUCAAGUGAGCAAUAAUGAGCUUGAAAAUUUUUGACUUCGAUGUUUAUUGAUUGAAUCUUGCCCCCAAUAUUAAUAUGUGUCAUUAAAGUUAAGGUGGCCAAGGCAUCGACAAACUGAUUCUUAUAUCUGCUCAUAUGAGUGAAUUUUAUCUCAUCAAACUUAUUAGCCAACGUCAAAAGAUAAUCUUGGUAUGACCUUAGUUUCAUCCUUAGUUUGCCAUUCCCCCUUCACUUAGUAGAUAAUUAGUAGUGAAUCUUCAUGAAUAUCUAGUUUUCCAAUUUUUAGCUCUAAAACAGCUUUUAGACUGAUGAUGCAAGUUUUAUAUUCAUCCAUGUUAUUGGUGCAUUCAAACUACAACCUCAUCAAAACAUGGUAUAACUUCUUUUAUGGAGAAAUUAUCACUACUCUAGCCCAUUUCUCUAAUAUAUUCAUUACUCCAUCAAAAUACACGGUUCACCAAUUGUUCAACUCAUCAUCAUCCUCAAUUGCUCAUACAUGCUCAUCAUAAAAUUCAAAAUCUAGUGACUCAUAGUCUUCCACAACAUUAUCUGUAAAAUGGUCAAUAAUUGCACUUCCCUUUUUCAUAACCUAAAUUUGGAUUUCCCCAAAAAUUACCAUUUUAUUUUAAAAUAAAAAGCAACUAAAAAUUAAAAAUUAAAAAUUAAAAAGAUUAGCAACUUGGCAAAAGCAAGCUGAAAAGGGUUUCAAAUGCAUGAAGAAACCAAGCUGAAGUUUUAGACAAAAUCGAAAGCAUAAUUGUACCCAAUUAUACCCAAUACUAGAUGAGAAUGCAAAUUCAAGGUCAAAUUAAAUGAUUAUUGGAUGAAUUAGAAUAAAAAUUAAGUCUAAGGAUUUAAUUAGACUAUUAAUAGGCUAAUUUGAUUUAAUCAUAUGCCCAAUUAAAUGAUUAAUUAAGUUUAAGAAUUAAUUUUGAUCAAAUUAAAAGAAUUAAUAAAGUGCAAAUACUUAAUUAGACUCUUAAUGGGUUAAAUUAAUUUUACUAGGGACUUAAUUUGACAAACGUUAACUUUGGAAGCCUAAUCUAGGCUUAAUUGAGAAGAUUGAAAUUUUAGAGGAUGAAAUUUAAUUUUUACUAGCUCAAUCGGCCAAAAUUAGGAACAAAAUUGCAAGAAAAUUAAAGUUUGGAGGUCAAAUUGAAGAAUUUUAAAAAUCAAGGACCACUUUAUAAAAAACGUAAAAAUUUGAGGGUCCAAUUGAUGAAGGCCAAGGGUAAAAUUGCAAGGAAUCCAAAAGAUUAGGGCUGAUUGGGGGUUUAAUCACAAAGUUCCAAAGGCUUAAGGACCAAAUUGAAAAAUACAUUAUUUCACUAUUCAUCAUCUUUUCCCCAUUUAAACAAGAGAAAAAAGAUGCCAAGUGCCCACCUUUCAACCCUAAUUUCUCCCUCACAUUUCACCAUACCACACAAAUCUUAUACCAACUUAUACCUUAGUAUUUUUACUUUACUCUAAGCCAAAAUUCCAGGUCCAAUGGUACCAAAAACACUUGCAAAUUUUCUACAAAAACAUUAUCCAACACUGUUCUGCUUGUAAAAAUAGCCUUGUAUUCUUUCUUUGUCAGUUGCAGAGUAGGACAAGCUUUUUGUCCAUACCAUGAAAUAUUAUUCCAUCUCAUACCUUGGAAGUUUUGAUUCACUCAAAGUCAAAAUUCCACCUCUAAUAACAUCAAAACCACCUGUAGAUUCUCUCCUAAAAAAGCUACCUAGGAUUAUUCUAUCUGUAAAAAUAGCCUUGGUCCCCCUAUUGUUAGUUGCAGUUCAGGACAAACUUUUGUUCUUAGCUGCAAUAAAUAGCUGAGAUCUAUUCUCUAACAUCAAGGGUCAAUAUCCUAUUAAUGCAUGAACCAUAAAACCUCUUUGUUUCUCCCAUAGAAACCCUCUCAUACUCUCUUUCCAUUGGCAAUAAAUUUACUCACAAGUUCACGAAUGGAAAUGCUCUGUCGCUAAAACUCUCGUCAAUAAUUUUUGGUAUGUUGGUGAGUCUAUCGGUAAUAAAAUGAUGGAUUUACUGAUGGAAAAGGCACGCAAAAAAAAAUACCCACUUCAUUCUGUCAGUAUUUCCCUAAAGAAUUUUGCCAUAUAACCGACAUAAAUACUGUAUGUAAUUCUAUCGGUGAUUAAACAAUGACACAAUGACAUUUGCAGUAAUUCUUUUCUAACUUUCUGGAAUAUACCAACAGAUGUAAUCCAUUGGUAAUACUAUCUAUCUUUAUUUAAAAAUAUUUUUUUAAAAAUCUAUUUAAUAGAAGCAAAGAAUAAUUAAAAUAAAUUAAAAUAAUAUAAAUCAACACUCGAUAAUACUUAGGAACUAAGUUGCAAGGAAAAAAGAAGAAGAAGAAAAUCAACUCAAACAAAUUUGCAACAAAUAAAUAACAUAAAAAAAAAACAACAACAACAAAUAAAUAAAUCAAUGAAAAAAAUCCACCUAACCUAGAAAACCUAUUUCAGAACCCAUAAUCCAGUAACAAAUAAAUUAAUUUAAUUAAAAUUGAACAAAUUUGAAAAACAAAAUCCAACUAAAAUCUAAUAAAAUUGAUCUUAUAUGAAAAUAAUCCUACAACAACAUUCAACAAUUAUUAAGAAUAGAAAAAAUUUAAAAAUAAAAAAAUAAAUAUAAUGUAAAAAAGCACAAAAAAGAAAAGGAAAAAAAAAGAAAAUUCUUACCUUAAUUUAAUUGCGAAUGAGGCUGAGAAGAGAAAAGAAAAAAAAUAAAUUUAUAAAGUAUGUUAAUUAAAAAAAACUAACAAGAGAAAAGAAGAAAGAGAAGAGAAGACAUUCAUGCGCAUGGAGGAGAAGAGAAAAGAAGAGGAGUUGAAGAUAGAAGAGAAAGAAAGAAAGGGACGUUGGUGUUUUUUAUAUAAAAAGAGGAGAAGAAGAAGAAUAAGAUAAAGAAAAAGAAAAAGAAAAAGAAGAUGAAGAUGAAGAAGAGGCAUGCUUAUUAUGAAAUGAGAGAUUAUGGUUUUUUUACUAGGGCAUUUUACCAAUGAUUUUACCGAUAUAUAAUUAAAUAUUAAUGUUUUUAAUUAUUUUAUUAGUGAUUUCAUCUAUAAUAUUUAAUUUAAAUCUUCAAUUUAAUCAAAAAUUUUCGGAAACCCUAAAAAAAUCAUCAACAACUUUUCAAUUCAUCAGUGAUUCUGUCUGUAAUUUUUAAUUCACAUUUUCAAUUUAAUAAAUUUUUCUUAGAAACCCUCCAAAUGUCACUGACGACCUUUGAAUCCAUCAGUGAUACCAUCUGUAAUAUUUAAUUUGAUAAAAAAAAUUUCAGAACCCUCCAAAUAUUACCGACAACUUUUCAAUCCGUAUGUGAUCCAUUCUAUAAAGAACAAUAAUUAACAGUGAAAUUAAAAAAUAAACAAUUCUAGAACUCUAUGGAAAAUACCAACAGAAUUAAUCCGUUGGUGAUUAUGUAUUUAAUUAACACAAUGAAUAGUGUCAAGGAGAAGGGAACAAUUUCAAAGCUCUCAUGAACAUUUUACCGACAGGUAUACAGACAGAUUUUACCAAUGGUAUUAAUACCGACAAGUAUACGGACAUAUUUUACCAAUGGUAUUAAUACCGUUGAUAUAAAUAACACGUCAUCGUACUUUUUUUCUUUUUUUAAUCCCUUUUUUUCCCAUUUUAAUUCCCCUAGUAUAUAUCAAAGGAAUAUUUAUGUCGGUGUUUUCCGAUGGAUAUAACAAGGGAAUAUGUUGUUGGUAGAAUUCAAUGCAAUUUACCGACAAAAACAUUCUGUCGGCGUUGCCAUUUGUAUUUGCCAAUUUUUUGGUAGUGAAAGGGAAAUAAUGCUUGCAAUUGAAGGCUCCAUGGUGGCAAGAUUCACGAUAGCAGCAACAGGGGAAGGUUGUACGACAAUAGCAACAUGAGAAGAUUCCAAAGCAGAGGGAGAAGAAAAAGACUAAGGAUUCACGACAGCAGCAGGACAAGCUUUCUAAGCAGAGGGAGAAGAAAAAAAAAUUCUACACCAUAGGUUGAGAUGAAAAGUCCAUUAAAGAGAAGAAAAGAAAGUUUUAAAGUGUAAUGACUCUAAUAUCAACUUGAGAAUAAUAUGAGGUUUAAUCUAUUAGUUAGCCAACCUUUCUUAUUUAUAUAUGUAAGGCAAUGUACAAUAGUUAAUGUAGAGAUUACAACACAAGAAUACUAAAACUUUCCUAAAUAUAUUUAUACAAGCCUUUCAUAUAUCAUAUACUAUAUUAUUAGAUUACACAAACAUUUAUUCUCUUUCUUAAGGCUGAGAUGCAAUUCAUUAGGCUAAGCUCCAAUAUGAAAUCCAUUGCUUUUUCCAUCGAUCAAUAACUAGCUUUAAAUGGGUUUUUUUCUCUCGUUUUCAAACCAAUUUGUCAUCACCUAGUUUUUGAACCCUAGUUUUCAUCAUUUUCCAAAAAAUAAAAAAAAUAAAAUACAAAACUCACAAAAAACAUGUUUUCAACGCGAUUAGACCAAUGAACAACUAUUUCAUAAUUUUCAACCUUUUUGCAUAUUGUUUUUGUGUUCGCAAGUUUAAAAAAUAAUAAAUAAUAUUUAAAGUCUUGUGGGUUUGUGCUUGUUGCGCGACAACCCUGAUGGUAUGAUGUCAUCAUGGAAUUUAUUUUUAUGGUGAAAUAAGGUUGAAAAUUAAUACCCCGCAAUGAGGUUGGAAGGAUUGGAUCGCAAAAGCUUUAUCUGAUGCAUAAUAGUUUGGUCUCGAUGUGGAUUUUAAUAUAAGUUUGAUUUUCUUAUGAGUUUUAAUGUGCACUGAUCUGUUUGUUAAAUUAUGAUUUUUGGUGAUGUUAUUUUUAAAUUGUGAAUUUUAUUAUGUGUUGACAUUUUUUUUUGUGAAAUUUGUAUGUGCAUGCCUGAUUUUCAUUAUGUUUAAUUUUUUUCAUGAUGAAUUUUUUGAAAGUGUUUUCACAUAAAAAGCUAAAAAAACAUAAAAAUCUAUGAAUAUAAAAAAAAUGACAUGUUCUUUUUAUUUUUUUAUUUGUGUAUUUAGAAUAGACAAACUUUAGCAUGUAAGAACAUUAAACACAUUUUAUCAUUGAAAAUAAACAACAAUGUAUCUUACCUUAAAUAUGAUAUAUAAGGUGAUGUCAGCCCCUCACCUAGAACCUCUAAGACUAAUUAGGGUUUCUAGUUACUAUAAAACUAGGUGGUAACCCCUUUUCAUCUUUUGUUUUUACCCUUUUAACAUGUAGCUCGCCUCGAUGUCCCCUUCAACACCACUAAUCCAAACCCACCAAAGCACUAAACUUUUGUACUUUCCAAGACCCCAUUUUAGUACUCAUUUCACUAGAGCUAGAAUUUUCAAGUUCCCUUAAAAGGGGUAUUUUUUGUUCAUCCUGAUAACCAAAACCCAAAACUUGAUUUGACUGAAAAUGAAUCCAACCCCAUAAAGGAAAUAAUUUUGUUCUUUAUCCUCUUUUAUGUUUUUACUUAUAGUAAAUUAAAUCUAGCCUCCAAGAAGAAUCCAAAGACUAAAGAACCCUAAUUCAAUAAAAACUCAGCUUCUCAUUCUCCAAAAAUAGGUUUUGCCGCAAUGGAUCUGGAUGAAACGAAUACGAGAAUCUAGCAACAGGAAGAGAUAACCACGGUAAACCAUGAAAUCAUAUGAGAAAAAGCGAUUACAAUCACUGGUUUUUUUUGUUCGAUUUGGGUUUAGAAGGAGGGAGAAAUUGAUUUUUCAAUGAGAAGUUUUUUAGUUUAUUGAUGAGAAAGAAGAAGUUAUCUAUCAUUUGAGUUGAUUUUUAAUAUAAUAUAGAUGGGGUAUUUUGUUAUUUCUGUUGAAUUUAGAAUUUUCUUUGACAUGUGAUGGAAAUUGUAAUUUUUCAAAACUUGGUAAGUGGAAUUUUGACCAAACUAUAGGAUGGUAAGGGUAAUUUUUCAUUUAAUAUUUUAAGACUUGAGGGCUCUUUAGUCAUUAAUUAUAAUAUAAUGACAAUCUCGUAAAUAAUUUAAACUGUUUUGUUAAUUUUUUUUAACGAAGAUGUAAAGUAUUGUACAACUUUAAAAAUUAUUGACUCUGGAUGUAAACUGUAAUUUUUAAAAGAAUGGAGAUAAAGUAAAAAAAUAAUUAAACUAUAAAUAAAAAAUCACACUUAGCAUCCUAAUAUCUGGCAUGAAUUGCAAUUAGGAAAUUUGAUGAAAUGACCAUAUUGUCUUUAUAUAUAUUGAAAUGAACCUUUAUAUAUAUAUAUAUAAAUGAAAACUAACCAAACAACAUAUGAGUAGCUUUGUUACCUUUUCUCUUAGACCAAAUCACCCCCACUCUCUCUCAAUUGCAUUUUUCUCUCGUCUUCUGAAUGAAAUUCAUAUCCAAAUCAAUGAAUUUUGUCUAAUUUGAGUUCAUCAAUAACCAUUUAUUUUUCAAAAAAUCCUAAUGGUUACUUGGUGGCAUUUUUAUUAUUUUUGAAUUUCAAUGGCUCUUUAGUCAUUAAAUAAAUCAUAAUAGUAAACCUAUAAAUAAUUAGAUAUGUUUUAUUGAUAUUUUUUUUAAAAAAAGAUAUUAAGUGUUAGCACAUCUAUAAAUUUAAUCACAAUUCAAACCGAUCCUCGUAAUGUCAAAGAUAAUUUUCAAUUAUAGAAAGAUAAUAUCAAAGAUAUUUUUCAAUUUAAUCACAAUUAUUUUUCUCUAAAAAUAUUUUUUCUCGGUUGAAAAUACAAGAUGAGGUUUGUUUUUAUCCUUAUGUGAUAUGGAUAUCACGUUGGAAGUUAAAAGACACAUGUCAAAACUUGCAUUCACUCAUGCGAAAACCAAUAGGGAAGGUGACCCAUACAAACCACAUGUACCAAUAAUAUAUAAAUCUUGCUUUACAUAUGAAAGUAAUAUUGGAUUUCUGAAUGUUAUACACGCAACAAAAAUAAUAAAAUAAAAUUACCCAAGAGUUCUAUUUAUUUUAGAUAGAUCUAGAGUUAUUUAGAAAUUUAUUACCUGAAGAUUUAAUCUUCUUCGACUUUCAAUAAUUCUUUAAAAAAGAUUGUCGCAAACCACAAGUCGUUCAAUUGUUCAGCCUCUAAUGAUAAUCCACACGAACCAUUAGUGAAAAAUCUUUCAAAUUCCUAUUUAGAAGAGAGAGAUUGUUAUGCCUAGAGUGCUAGCUCUCUGUUAUGUGACUUACAUAGUUUUUCUGUCUAAUAGACAACCACUCCUUAAAAAAAUAAGAGGCACAAUAUAUUAUUUAUAAAAAAUAUGAAAAACCCUAUAACUUGGUAAGUAUCAAUUUACCCCUUAAAUAAUAUCUAUAUAUUAUUUAAGGAUAAUUUUAAAAAUUUAAUCAAUCAAGUCUCUACUUGAUUAUUUUCGGACUAUAAUUAUAAUCCCUGAAAUAAAUACAUUUCAAUGCUUAAUUUCUAAAAUUAUUUUCAAUCAAGUCACACUUGAUUAAUUAUCUUAGUUUAAUUUCUAACUAAUAGUUCUUAAUAUGUGUGACUCGUUAUGUUCUUAAUUUCUAAGUCUUUUCAAAUCUCAUUCCACCUUGACCAAUGAUUUCUCAGUUAAUACUAUUUGAUAACAGAUAAAAUAUUUUCUCCAAUUCUCCUAGGAUUAUGAAUUCUCUCUUGAUCACUCAAAUACCUUCAUAUAGUUCAUGUUAUACCUAAUGUUUUCCAUUUCAUCUCCUUGAUUAAGAUAACAUGUAAUGACAUCAAAGCAUAACAUCUUUUAUAUAAGAUAACUUAGUGUCUCAAGUGUAAGGAUCACUUACACAACCGAUAUGUGAGCCUUUCUAUAGACAUAUAUGAUCUCUUCAUAUAAAAUCCUCAUGCAGGUCAAGUUAGUAUAUAUAUCCUAUGAUAAACACUCACAUAUUAGUUCUAGAUAUCCCUUAUAUCUCAGCUUAUGAGAACAACCACUUCCUUUCACACAAAAAAGAACAUAAUAUGUACUAGUCUCUACGACUCUAAUAAAUGUUCAAUAUUUAAGAGAGUAUCGACCAUAAACAUUUUAAGAUCAAUGCUUUGAUGCAAUAGUAAUCUCAUAAUUAUAACAACUUUAUAAUUUUAUUUGUAAAACAUUUUUUUUACUAUAAACAUUAUCUUUACUCUAGAUUCAUAAAUUAAAUAUUAGAUUUAUUAAUCUAAUAUUAUAUAAAUAUUAAUGAUAAAUUAACUUUUUAUUAAUAACAAAUAUAUAUUUACACAAAUAUAAUAAUAAAACUACUAUAUAACUACAUAGUAUAUUAAACUAAUUAACAAGUCAAGGCAAUGACAUGACUCUCUUUUGGAUACAAAUUGAAAUCCCAACGCAAACAGCCAUUGACAUGCAAAUGCUAGACUAUAUACAACCUUCAAUUAGGGCAUGAUCACAAACCCCGCGACUUGUUUUCCACUAUGCAUAAAGCAUAGAUAUUAAAUCAAAGUAGGGAUUGGAAGAUUUACAUGGAAAACUUGGAAUUUCGAGUUUAACCAGAGCCAAGUUUUUAGCAUAAAAUAUAGUAGUUAAAUCCGACUAGAUUUUUAAUGAUCCACUUAAUCUCGUUUUAUAAAUGGUAUCCCUGAGUUCACAUGUUCUUUAUCUCCAACUUGGAAUGGCAUUGUUUCGACGAUCUUCUCAACACAAAACAUAUCCAAUCUUUUACAUGCAAAUGUCGGGUUCAAGGUGGGUGAUGGGAGGAACAUCCGGUUUUGGACUGACUCUUGGCUUGGCUCUACAACCACUCUCCAACUCUUAUUCCCCAGACUGUAUAACCUCUCCCUGCAGCAACAAUCCAGCCUUGCAGAUAUAUGUGAUUUGACAGAUACAUCUUUCAACCUAUCCUGGAGAAGACCCCUCCGGCCUCGUGAAAACUGCAUGAGGGAGAGCUUGAUCGCAGAGGUGCAGCGUGGUCUCAUUUUCUCAGAUGGUGCAAACCGCAAGGUAUGGAAAUUUCACAGCUCUGGCAUGUACUAAGCUCAAUCAGGUUGCGCUCUUUUUGAUAGUCUAUCGGUAACUGAAAAUAAUCACUCCCCUGUUCUGCUAUGGAAUGGUUAUGCUCCUCCAAAAGUGGAUGUGUUCAUAUGGCUUCUUCUUCAUGGCAGUUUGAGUACACGGAUUUUUUUAGCUGAGAGGAGAAUCAUUAAUUAUGAGGAAUCUCACUACCCAUUCUGCUGCAAGGAAAUUGAGACAAUUAAUCAUCUCUUCCAUUGGUGUCCUAUAACAUGGUCUCUUUGGGGUCGUUUCUUGAACUGGUUUGGGUGCUUAGGUUGUUUGCACAAAGACCCAUAUCAACAUCUACAGGAAUGGUCCGGUUUGAUUAAUGGAAAUUUUCAGCGACGUGCUAUUACCCUCCUUUGCAAAGGUCUGUACUGGUCAAUUUGGAUAGCGCGCAACCGCCUAAUCUUCGAAUCCAAGGCUCCGGAUUGGGAUAUGAUUUUUGAUCUCACCUUUCACCAUUUGGCCUUCUGGUUGAAGUCUUCAGUUAGAAAUUUCAGCUAUACAGGCUCAGAUCUUUUUAGAAAUCCUGAAUGUAUUAUGAACUGGACUAAUUAAUUAGGUCCCGCGUCGCUUUGGUCUUCUCUUUUCUUUUACAUUCUCAUUGUAUUUAUCUUUCGUUCAGUUCCACCUACUUAAUGGGUCUGUUUAAUAUAUAAUUCACUCGUUUACUAUCAAAAAAAAAAAAUUAUUCUCUUCAGGAGUUCAAAUGGUGUACAAACUCUUAUUCUCUUCCAGAAGUUCAAAUGGUGUACAAACUCUCACAAUUUUCGAAAACUUCAAAGGGAGCUGAAAUCCACGAGUAGAAGCAAGACAGCAUGGCAUGGCAGCUAGCAUGCCUUCUAUACAGCUUUCCAUGAUGUAAGAGGUGGAGUAUCUGAAUCCUUGAAUGUUAACAUGCCAUAGCCGUACCGAUCUCCCCUUACAGCAUCCGAAGAAGCUAUCGAUUCGAGUUCAGCCAUUUCUUCUGGCGUUAGUUUGACAGACAGAGCUCCAACAUUCUGGUUGAAGUUUUUGAUCUUGGUGGUUCCAGGAAUAGGACAAACAUCAUCACCCUGGUGGUGUACCCAGGCCAACGCCAGCUGCGAUGAAGUGCACUGUUUCCUUGCUGCGAUUUCAUUAACCCGCUCAAAUAGUUGUGUAUUAUGCUCAAGAUUUUCAGGUCGGAACCUAGGCAAACCCUGAGACAAUUGAACCACUAGUUAAUUUCAGCAGCUAAGCCUGACACAACUCAUCAAGAAGAAAUCAUCAUAGAUUAUAGUUUAUGCAACAUGUCCUUCUUGCCAUAACAAAACUUCCUAGUACUAAACGCAAACCAUCAUGAUAUUGUAUACAACUUAGUUUUUUAUGGGUGCAAGCAUGCCAAAUUUCCAUGUACAAGGCGAGUGAGCAGAUUUUACAAAUUCAAAAGUAAUGAAGAUUGAAUAUUAGAGAGAAAGAUUUAAGCAAAACAUUAAGUAUGCAGAACUUUUUGUUUGGACAUGCAUGGGACAAACUAAAGCCACCUGUCUAAAACAAGGAGAUCCUGUAAAUCUGUGUAUUAUUUGAUUGAAUCUUUAAGCAAUCUAAGUGUAUAGCAUAUUUGUAGGAAUAAUGCAAAUAUGAAAGAACUGCUAGGUAAAAUAUAAUGAUCUCAAAGCUAAACGGUAAAAUAUAAUGAUCUCAAAGCUAAACUUUUACUCUCAAAGUUUCUUCUAUGGAGUUUAGACCACCAAACCACUCCAUAAGAUGGAAGAGACUAAUUUUUUGAGGCAUCUAAGCUAACCAAUAUAUUGUCAAAAACUCGUUGCUUAAAAGUUUAAGUUAUUUGGUGAGUUUUCAAUAACGGUUUUAUAUUAUUCUGACGCAUAUAACUGUCAAAGGAGGAAAUGUGAUUUGUGACAUUCCUUCCUUUCCAAACUGUAAAAGAUUAUGCUUGUACAAUUGGUUAUUUACUGGACAUGUAUUAUACAGAUCACAAACUCUAUAUUCAAAAAGAAAAGAACCUACCUUUCUGUAGUCACCAUCUGUAAAGCUCUCAACCAACUUAGGCCCAGAGGAAAAGAAUCCCCGUCCUAGAGGACUGUAAGCAACAAUCCCAAUGCCAAGUUCUCUGAACCAUUAGAAUGAUAAGAUCAGAAUCUGGAUAUCUAAGGCAUCCCAUAAACAGCCUAAGGUUUCGGUUAUUUUGAUCUCCAAAGAAAAUUAGUUUUUCUCAUCAAUGCCUCACCUGCAGGUAGGAACAAUCUCUUCCUCCACAUCUCUUGACCACAGUGACCACUCCAACUGCACGGCUGUUAUCGGAUGAACAGCGUGAGCUCUUCUGAUUGUUGAAGCAGAGGCCUCAGACAUACCUAUAUACUUUAUUUUACCUUCUUCAACUAGUUUCUUGAGUUCUCCCAUCUAGCAAAGAAAAGAAUUAUGAUUGCACAACUGCAAGACAUUUUUCAGCUAGAAUGCAGGGACAGUACCAAAUAGUAGCAUUGUCAGAAUCCAGCUACGAAAGAGACCAUUGCAAGAUGUCAUGACGGUAUCAUCAGUACCGUGUCUAAUCUAUAAUUUUAGUGGGUUUAUGCUGAAGUUUUAGGGAUUUUUGGAUAUGCCUGUCACAGAUUCUGGAAAAUAUAUCAUCAAGUAAAAGAAAAAUUCUCUAACUAUCAUCAUGGCCAUCGAACGAUCAAGAUUAAUCAGAACAAUAUUCAGAAAUAAAAACAAUUAAAGAGAAAUACCGUAGCUUCAAUAGGAACGCUGGUAUCAAUGCGAUGUUGGUAAUAAAGAUCAAUGGAUUCAAGUUGAAGGCAUUUCAAGCUGGCCUCACAAGCAGCUCUCACAUAAGCAGGAUCCCCUCGAACCUCAAAAGUGCCAUCCUUAAUGCUGAGGCCAAAUUUGGUGGCCAAUUCAACUCUCUGUCGUAAUCCUCCCGCCUUCAAGGCCUUGCUGUUAGGCCCCAAUAAUUACUGUGAGUGAUGUUUUCUCUUAGGAUGAGAAUAAACCACAAUUUGCAUAAAAUCUUCUUACUUCAUUAAUAAGACUUGGCUGCUUAAAUAGCAAAGCCAAUUAACAACCCACGUAUUUACAAGUCAACCGAAUAAAAGAACACACGACAAACAGAAAUACAAGUAAAUAAUAAUGGAAAGAGACUAACAGAAAUACAAAUAAAUGAUAAUGGAAAGAGACCCUCCCAUACUGCCCCAUGCAUGUCUUCUAACUGCCCGACUGCAUGCACUUUCUCCCUGUUAGCAUGAAUGCAUGUUUGAGUGCAUGGGACAUGCAACCACCUGCCCGCACGAUUGCACGUUUGAUGCAGUGCAUGGGACAUGCACACUUACAGAUAUUUGAGAUUUGGUUUGAGGCCACGAAUUGAAUGUCGUGGCCUAUCAUUACUUCCCCCAGGAAGAAUAUCCUUGUCCUCAAGGAUGGUAGGCGAGAAUUUAGCGAGCAAUUGUUCAGUUGGCUCCCAGGUGGCAUCAUCAGUGGAAAGAUUUUUCUAGUGAACUAAGCUCUCCUCAACAAGGUGGCCCCCAUGUUUGAUCCAACGAGUAUCCAAAAUCAUCUGAGGCUCUAAAAUGACCACACCGUCAUCAGCGAUUGGGGGUAACUCCGUCUGGUGGGGAGCAGCUCGCCCUGCAGUGGUAUGGAAAGGUUUCAACAAAGACACAUGAAAAACAGGAUGGAUCCGCGAGUGAGCAGGGAGUUGUAACUUGUAAGCGACAGGCCCACAUUUUUCCAGAACCAAGUAAGGUCCAUAAUAACGAUUGGCUAGCUUUUGAUGGACACGUUUGAAAGCCGUUUGCUGGCGAUAAGGAUGUAACUUGAGUAAAACCAAACUGCCAACCUCAAACGAGACAUCCCUGCGUUUGCGAUCUGCCAUUUGCUUCAUACGAUUAACUGAAACUGCUAAGUUGGUCUUGAGCUGUUUAAGCAAGGCAUCGCGAUGUAACAAAUGCUGAUCAACUUCAUGUACAGUCGAGAGGCCUUCAGUGUACAAUGGAAUGGAUGGGGGUAGACGACCAUACAACGCCUGGAACGGGGUCAUGCCAGCAGAAAUUUGGGACGUGAAGAUAACUGGUCGACCUGCGGGGCCAUUGAUGAACGAAACAACGCAAAUACUGCUCCACACAACAGUUAACUACCUCCGUCUGUCCGUCAGUUUGUGGAUGGUACGCAGAACUAAGCUUCAAUUUGGUGCCCGACAACUUGAAGAAUUCUUGCCAGAAUUUACUAACAAAAAUGGGAUCGCGGUCACUGAUAAUAGAAAUGGGCAUGCCGUGAAGCUUGAUAAUUCCUUCUAAAAACUUGUCAGCCACAGUUUUAGCAGUAAAUGGAUGAGUUAAUGGAAGAAAAUGAGCUGAUUUGCUGAACCUGUCAACAACCACCAUAAUUGCAUCUUUGCCCUGGGACGUAGGUAGUCCCUCAAUAAAGUCCAAUGAAAUAUCAUCCCACACAUGACAAGGAACAGGUAAGGGUUGUAGAAGGCCUGCCAGAGCCAUUGUUUCAGUCUUGAUCUUCUGACAAACUUCACAUCCUUUAAUAUACUCCUCCACUGAUCGAUGCAUCCCUGGCCAGUAGAACUGUUGGCUCAAUUUCUUGAAUGUGCGUAAGAUGCCAGAAUGCCCACCUGUCUUGGUGUCAUGCAUUUCGUGGAGUAAACGAGUGCGUAAGGAGUUAUCAGCAGGAACAACAACUGUCCCUUUGUAGAAGAGCAGCCCAUGACGCCAUUUAUACUGUCCUUCAGGUUGAGCAUUGGCCAAACGACCUUUCAUCUUGAUAUAGUGAUCAGUUGUUGCGGCGUGUUUGAUAUCUUCCCAUAGACUGACCUGUGGAAUAAAUAGAUGGUUAAGAACUGGACUGCCUUGUUUCCUGGACAGUGCAUCUGCUGCAUAAUUUUCACGCCCUGGGCGGUAUAAUAUUUUGUAGUCAUAGCCUAGAAGUUUGGCGACCCACUUUUGCUGUUCUGGUGUGACGAUUCGCUGCUCCAAGAGAUACUUAAGGCUGCGGUGAUCAGUUUGAAAAAAAACAUUUCUUGCCCAGAAGGAAAGGACGCCAUAAACGGAUAGCCUCAAUGAUAGCCAACAUUUGUUUGGCGUAUGUAGACCAAGAUAGUUUAGUGACACCAAGUGCCCUGCUCAUGAAUGCCACUGGUUUACCUUGUUGCGACAACACAGCACCAAUGCCUUCACCAGAAGCAUCAGUCUCAAUAGUAAAUGAGUCAUUGAAAUUGGGCAUGGCGAGUGUAGGAGUUGUGGUCAUGGCAUGCUUGAGUGCAAUGAACGCAGACUCCGCCUUAUCAUCCCAAACAUACUGGCCUUUUUUAAGGAGGUUGGUGAGAGGCCGAGCAAGAACACCAUAUUGGCUGACAAACUUGCGAUAAUAACCUGUUAAACCCAAAAAUCCACGUAAAGCAGAAAUAUUAGUAGGGCGUGGCCAUGCCACCAUUGCUUCUACCUUUCUAGCAUCUACUUUCACUCCAUAAUUUGUGACUAUAUGUCCCAAAUAUUCCAGCUCCUGUUGACCAAAGGCACAUUUACUCUGCUUGACAAAGAAUUGGUGUUGCCGUAGUAUGGACAAGGUCUGCUGGACAUGCUCUAAAUGUUGUUCCCAUGUAUUACUAUAAACCAAGAUAUCAUCAAAGAAAACAAAGAUGAAUUUUCUAAGAUGUGGAUGAAAGAUUGAAUUCAUAAUAGCUUGGAAUGUAGAUGGCGCAUUGCAUAAGCCAAAAGGCAUAACCAAGUACUCAUAAUGUCCAUUAUGUGUCCUGAAUGCAGUUUUUGGUAAAUCAGGAGGACUUACUUGGACUUGAUGGUAACCAGCCUGUAAAUCAAGCUUGGUAAAGUAGGAUGCACCAUAGAGUUCGUCCAACAUGUCUUCAACAGUGGGAAUUGGAAACCUGUCUUUAAUUGUGGCAGUGUUGAGUGCACGAUAGUCUGUGCAAAAGCGCCAGUUACCAUCCUUCUUCUUAACCAAGAUGACCGGUGAUGAGAAGGGACUAGUGCUAGGUUGAACAUGUCCGGAGUUUAGCAUUUCUUGGACUUGUUUCUCAAUCUCCUCCUUCUGGUAAUGAGCAUAGCAAUAUGGACGUACAUUCACCGGUGCAGUGCCUUCCUUCAAAGGAAUAUUGUGGUCAAUCUGUCUGGAAGGUGGUAAACUGGAAGCCUCCAUAAAGACAUCAGAAAAUUCAUGCAACACUCGCAUGCUAGGUUGAAUGCCACCCUGUGUAUCCUGCAUAGUGAUUUGUAAACAAAAGGCAUAUAUGGCACCGCUGGAACAAACGUCUUUUGAGAUUUCUUUAAAUGUAGCUGCUUGAAUCUCAUGGCCGUCUAUCCCUUCCAAUCGUCUGGCUUUAUUUGCCCAAAAGAAUUCCAUGGUCAACUGUUUCCAGUUGCAAACCACAGACCCGAGUAACUCCAGCCAUUGAAUUCCCAGCACUAAAUCCAGCCCUGUGAUUGGUAGAGAAUAUAGUGUUAAGGAAAAAAUAGAGCCUUGUAGGUCUACCUGAACCUCGUUAAACUUUUUUUGACACUUGAGAUUCUCCCCAUUUGCUACUCGUACUGUGAACGCCUUUGUAGAUACCACUGGUAGACACAGUAAGUUUGCCAUUCGCUCACUGAUGAAGUUAUGUGUGGACCCACUGUCAAUUAGUGUGAAUAUGGCAUGAGAACCAAUUUUGGCAGUUACUCGCAUGGUUUUGGAGGCAGUCCAUCCUGUUAAUGCAUGUAACAUAAUCUCAGGUUCCACAAAUUCCUCAAGGUGCUCCACAACAUGAUUUUUGUCGUGGACGUUGUCACAGACAGCUUCAUCGUCUUCAUCAUGGCCUUCUAGCAUUAGCAAUUUUGCUCCCUGACAUUUAUGCCCUGUUGUGAAACGUUCAUUACAAUUAAAACAUAAUCCUUGAAGUCGUCUCCGCUGCAUUUCAUCCCAGCUCAAAUGUCUUAUCGGUGCCACAUGUGUUGUUGACGUUGAUGGUAAAAGGGCUAGAGAAGCUCGUACCGGUGGUGCUGGACGUAUGAACUUCCUCUGUCUUAUGAGCUGAUCAUCCUUCAUUCGUGCAAAGCUGAUAGCAUCCUUUAAUGUUUGUGGCUUAAACAUACGAAUGCCAUCUGAUAUAUCUGACCUCAAACCACCCAUAAAAGUUCCCACUAAAGCCUUUUGUGUCCAACCUCUGACCCGAUUGCCUAGCCGUUCAAAUUCUCGCUGGUAUUCAUGCAAGGAUCCAGUUUGUCUGAUUCUUGAAAGAGCUUCAUCAAAAUUUUCGCACUCUGAUGGUCCAAAGUGAGCCCAAAGUUCAUCUUCGAAAUUCACCCAAGCAAUAGCAUGUCCCUCGUCUUGGAAAUUCCUGCGAAUCCACUGCCACCAUUGAUUUGCUCCCCCUUCCAAAUGGUAGGAUGCCAAAGAUACCUUUUGUGUUUCAGCAGUAUUCUGAAACUCAAAAAAUUGGUUUACCCGAUUGAACCAUUCGGUUGGGUCAUCUCCUGAAAAUCUAGGAAACUCAAGCUUUGCUGUUUUGGAAGAUACAAUUUGUCGCCCUCUAUCAUGGCCCUCACGAUAUUGAUUACCAUGAGUUGUAGGUUCCUGGUUAGCAAGCAAUACAUCGGAGAGACGAUUAAGGGUUUCCUCCAGUUGGCGAUGUCUAUCAGCCAUAUGGAUCUCCAUUCUGUGUAGUCCAUCUUGGACUUCACCGAGUGUAAUUUCUAGUUGCUCAAUACGUUCUUUAUUGGUUCCCAUAACCUGGCUCUGAUACCAAUGUUAGGCCCCAAUAAUUACUGUGAGUGAUGUUUUCUCUUAGGGUGAGAAUAAACCGCAAUUUGCAUAAAAUCUUCUUACUUCAUUAAUAAGACUUGGCUUCUUAAAUAGCAAAGCCAAAUAACAACCCAUGUAUUUACAAGUCAACCGAAUAAAAGAACACACGACUAACAGAAAUACAAAUAAAUGAUAAUGGAAAGAGACCCUCCCAUACUGCCCCAUGCACGUCUUCUAACUGCCCGCCUGCAUGCAUUUUCUCCCUGUUAGCAUGAAUGCACGUUUGAUGCAGUGCAUGGGACAUGCACACUUACAGAUAUUUGAGAUUUGGUUUGAGGCUACGAAUAUCACUUGCCCAGAAGGAUUUCGUUGGUGUGGGGUCCAUAGACAUCGGAGGUGUCGAGUGAAGUGACCCCGGUGUUGACGGCAUGGUGGAUGAGGGCGAUCAUGUCUUAUUCAGGCUUUGGAGGGCCGUAGGCGGCAGACAUGCCCAUGCAUCCAAGUCCCUGUGCUGAUACUUCAAGACCCUGUGACCCCAGCUUGAUCCUUUUCACUGUUGCCAUCUCUCUUGUUCUUAUUUAAUUUGCUUCUCAAGAAUGACGGACUCAGUGUGUGUACGAGUUCUCGGCUCAGCCUAGCAAAUAAAACAAAACAGCCAUAAAUAGAGGAAGUGAAUGAAGAGACUUCAUAGUCAUCCAAGAACAAUUUCUAACGUAAGCAUCUACGUAACUCAAAUGAUGUUUGAGCUUACGCUCCAUUAUAUGCACAGCCGUUCGCAUGAAUUUUGAUUUGAAAAAUAAAAUUAAAAAUUAUUAUUAUUAUUGUUAUUUUUAUUAUUAUUAUGAUCAUCAGUGUUAUUUUUAUUUUUAAUAUUGUUAUUAUUUUUAUUACUAUUAAUUUUGAAAAAAUAUAUUAUUACUAAAAAAUCAUAAAUUUUAUUUGAAGGGAUUAAAAACUAUAAGAACUUGGAUCAAAUAAAUUUAAUAUUAUUAUUGUUAUUGUUAUUGUUAUUGUUAUUAUUAUAAAUAUUAUUAUUUUUAUUUUUAGUAGUAUAACCAGACCAUAGAAACUUGGAUCUGGCUGGGGCGCCAAAUCCAAGUUUAUAAUCAUUAGUUUUAUUCUUAUUGUUAUUAUUAUUGUUAUCAUUAUCAUUAUCAUUAUCAUUAUCAUUAAUAAUGUUUUUAAAAAACAUUAUUACUAUUAAAGAAAAAUCAUAAAUUUGAUUUCAAGGGAUAAAAAAUUAUAAGAAUUUGGGUCUAACAAGUUUAAUAUUAUUAUUAAUAUUAAAAAUAUUAUUCUUGGGUUAAGCGUUGUAGCCAGACCCAAAGAUCUUGGGUCUCGUUUUGCAAAUAGAGCUAACACUUUUAAAUAUUAGUGUUUUUUGAUAUUUUUUAUGCUAAAAAAAUUAACCCAUAAUAUAGCGCGAGCCACCCUCAGUAGUUGGUACUAUUUAUGAUAACUAAACAAAAAACCAGAUUAUUUAUAUUUCUCAAAAGCUUUUUUAAUGGUCGAAAAAAUCCUAAUGUAGUGGCAGCUAUGUCAUUGAUUAUUUACAAUUAUGCCAAUAACAUGCUAGCUAUUAUGUAUUUUGGUUAUACCCAUGACUAUGCCACAUGCCAUGUAUGAUAAAAUCCUAAUGCAGUAGUAUCUAUGUUAGCAAUUAUUUUUAAUAUUUGUAUAUUAAAAUAAUUUAAAAAUAUAAAAAAUAUUAAUUAAAAAAAAAUUUCAAACUUUUUUUAAAAUAUUUUUAAAACAUAAAAAUAAACAAGCCUUUGUACAAAUGCAAUUGCAAGGUAGAGCAAAUGAAGUUUUUUCAAGUCAAAACGAAUGGUUAAAAAAAUCACCUCUAGCAUGAGUGAAAAGAAGUCCUACCAAUUGUUUGCGUGAAGAAAAGAUAACCCUUUAACCAUACAUUCUAUACCCAUUAGCAAAACUAAUUUUUACUAUGUAAUGAGAGUUUGGAGACCAUGUCAAAGAAUGAAACUGAAGCAUCACACUUCUUUAAAGUUUAUAGGAGUUGAUAAAUUUUAUGCUUCUAAUGAGCUUAAGCAACUUGUUUGAACCCAACAAUCCUUUAGUAAUUUUUCAGGAUCCCAUGCGGAUUUCUUAAUAUUUUGUAUUGAUCCAAUACGUAUUAUUUUGAGUGAAAUAUAACUCAAAAUAUUUUAGGGAUGAAAUAAUUCAACCAUUUCUCUAUAUAAAAUGACAAGACUCAUGAGCUAUAAAUACUCCAUGAAUCAUUCAAGCUCCAAGAUCAUAAUCUCUUUAUUCUUAAUAUUUUUAGAAUACAUAUUUUAGAAUAUAUCUUUUUAAAAUAUAAUUGCACUUUCUCUCUUUAAAUAGAUAUUUAGUUAAGCAUGUGAAAGUCUCUAAUUUUACAAAAGAAAACUUUUUGAAAAUACUAGCCACUAGUCACCCUAAAGGUAGAAGCUAUCAAUCACCUUGGCUAGGGAGAAUUGAUCAGAUUGCUAGAACCAAAAGAUGAAUUGAUUAUCCAAUAUAUAAGUCAUGCUCCUAAGCUACAUGGACUUUUUAGGACCUCAUCAUUGAUACCAUUUGUGGAAACUAAAUAAAAAGCCAGUUUAUUCAUAUUUCUCAAAAGCCCUUUUAAUGGCUAGCGAAACCACAACGCAGUGGUAGUUAUGUCAGCGAUUGUGUCUACGGCUAUGCCAAUGACAUGCUAGUAGUUAUGCAUGUGAUUAUGCCCACAACUAUGCCCCCAUAUGACUACACAAGCAGUUACACCCUUGAUAAUGCCCACGGCUACGUCUACGACUAUGCCCACGAAUACAUUUAUGGCUAUGCUAACGACUACGCAUGUGGCUACAUCUACGGCUAUGUCUACGACCCACGACUAUGCCCUAAGGCUACGCCCAUAAAUAACUUUUAUGGUGGCUUAUACACGCCAAAAGGUGUCAUUGAGACUUAGAGGGCUCUGAUGAUACAUAAAAGGCGAGUUUCAUCUACUAGUGUGAAUGCAUAAUUCCCCUUGAAAUGAAUGAAUCUAAGUCUCUCUAGUGCGAUUGUAUAAUUCUCUUUGGAAGGGAUUAACAUAAAGCCUCCCUAAUAUGAUUGCACAAUCUUUGGAAGGGAUGGAUCUGAAGCCUCCCUAGUGCGAUUGCACAAUUUUCAUUGGAAAUGAUGGAUCUGAAGCCUCCCUAAUGCGAUAACACUACUCUGUAAAUAAUGGUUAUGAGGUCUUUCUAAUGUAUUAUCAUCACUCUUUAAGGGAUGAGUAUAUGGCUCUCUAGUGCAAUAUCAUCACUCUUCAAGGGAUGAACUUGGUGUCCUUAAUGCAAUAACACCACUCUUCAAUGGAUCAACCAAGGGUCUCCUUAGUGUAAUAACAUCAUUAUCUAAGGGAUUGACCAAAGGUCUUCCUAGCGCAAUAACACCACUCUCCAAUGGAUGGGUAUGAGGUUUCUCGAGUGCAAUAACACCACUUUCAAUGGAUGGGUAUGAGGUCUCUCUAGUUCAAUAACACCACUCUUCAAGGGAUAGACUUGAUCUCUUUAGUGCAAUAACAUCACUCUCUAAUAAAUGAACUUGGUCUCCCUGGUGAAAUAACACCACCUCUUAUAGGUUCCCCUCGUUCACUUAGAAAUUUUCUAAGUUGGACUCCACCCCCAAUGGGUUCCUCUAAUGAGUUCCUUCAAUGAAUUUCUCAAAUGGAUUCCUCCGAUGAGUUCUUCCAAUGAGUUCAUCCAAUAGAUUCUUUCAAUGAGUUCCUUUAAUGGAUUCUUCUAAACCAUUUAGAAAUUUUUCUAAACACAAGAUCCUCUUCCAUGGGUUUCUUCACCUAUUAGAAAAUUUUUCUAAGUAUGGAUUCCUUCAUGGUUUCCUUCUAUAUAUUUAGAGUUGUUUUUUCAACCAUAGUACAUGCCCAUACACAUGGGCUCUCCAGUAUAUUACCCGGGGUUUCCACCCCUCUUUUCAUAUGAAGAGAAUUUUAUGAACUUGUCAUGGUAAUUGAGUAUUUUUACAAGUGUUUGAAUAUUAGUAUCAUAAAGACUUGAAGGGCUAUUGAUGAACCUAGAUUUAACAGGUUCAAAACCCCCAACAAACCAUAAAGAAUGGGCUCAGGUGCUGCAUGGACUUAAUGACCAUGGCCUCCAGGCAGCGUACAUGUCCUUAUUUUUCGCCCUUAACAGGCUUAGGUAACUCACUUGAGCCCAACACUCACUCAAUAAUUUUUCAAGCCCAAACAUGUCCCUCAAUAUUUUAUAUGGAUCCAAUAAGUAUUAUUUUAGGUGAAGUAUAACUCAAAAUAUCACAUGGAUGAAAUGACUCUUUAGCCCCUCCUUUCCAUUAAAGGACAAGAUUCAUAAGUUAUAAAUACCUCAUGAAUCAUUCAAGCUCCAGGUUCAUAAUCUCUUCAUUCUCAAAAUUUUUAGCAUGUAUAUUUUCAAAGUUUAUCUCUCUAAAAUAUCAUUGCACUUUCUCUCUCUAAAAAGAUAUUUAUUUAAGCAUCUGAGAGUUCCCAUUUCUAUAAAAAAAAAAGGACCUUUUGCAGGUACUAGCUACCAACCAUCUUGGCCUACCAGGCAUUAAGUUCAAGGUAUUAGCUGGGGAGAAUGGAUCAAAUUGCUAGAAUCAAGAGAUUAACUAAUUAUCUAAAAUAUAAGCCCUGCUCCUAAGCUACAUGAAUUUUUUAGGAUCUCAUCAAAAGGAUAACUAGAUAGGUUGCUUGCGUUACGCCACGGGUUGAGUCAAAAUUUUCCUCACAUUAAAAUAAUGUCAAGGUGAUGUUAACCCAAGACAAUUUGAGUUAACUUAACUACACACAACCCAUGAUAUGAGAUUGAGUUAGACCUCUUAAAAAGAUAAAGGAAAAAAAUCAUAAAACUCAAGACCUAAUAGCAUAAUGUCAAAUAAUGAAAAAAAAUUAAAUUUAAAAAAAUAGUUCUGAAGAAAAAAAACCUGGGUCAACUAAGGAUAAUUUGACCAAUCAACCACCUAUGAUAUGAGAUCGAGAUAAAAAAAAUUUGACUCUAAAAAAAGGACCUAAAAAAGAGUACCGAAGUUCAAUAAAAAAGACGUUGAAAAACAAACUCAAGCUAAAAUGGGUUAAUUUGACAAACCGGCACUCGAGAUAACCUCACAUAAAGAAAAACAAAAAAUAAUGACAUAAAUCAAGGGCCAAUAAUCUAAUAUCAAAUGAUAAAACUAAGAAAAAAAAUCAUUUUUUAAAAAGGUCGAGAAAAAAAACCUGAGUCAACUCAGGUUAACUUAAUUAAUCAACCACUCACGAUAUGGGAUCGAGAUAAAAAGAAUUAGAUUUUAAAAAGAAGAACCUAGCAAAAAACACCAAAGCUAAAUAAAAAAAACACUGAAAAAUAAACCAAGAUAACUCGGGUUAACUUGACUAAUCCACACUCUCCACAGAACAAAAGGCGAAAAAAAUCAUAAAGCUCAAGACCCAAAAAUGUAAUGCCAAAGAAUGAAUUUGCAAAAAAAAAAAAAAAACAAAUCAAUUAAAAAAAAUCAAGGAAAAAAACUUGAAUCAACCCGAGUUCACUCGACUAACCUGUUACUCAAGAUAGAGAUUAGAAUAACCUAAAAAAAAGAAAGAUAGGACAAAUAACAAAGUUCAAGGCCCAAUAACCAAAAUUUCAAAUGAUGAAUUUGAGAAAAAAAUCAAUCUAUAAUAAAAUGACAAAAAAAAGAACUUUUAUCAUACCUGGGUCAUGAGAAAGGCAAACAUAAAAAAAAAAAGUAGAAUAUCCAAUUACAAAACAAUCUCAAAUCCAAGUAAUGAUGACUAAAUCUAGUAUAAAAACUAAAUAAAAAAAAUAAUUAGGGACUAAAUUGAAAAAAAAAAUUAAGAAGAGGAUAAGAAAAUAGUAAUAAAAAGAAUGAGAAUCCAAAUUAGAUUAAAAAAACCUAAAUAAAAUAAGAUGUUGAGAGAUAAAAUAAAAAAAAGGAUAAAUAAGAAAAGAAUAAGAAAAUAGCAAUAAAAAAAGACCGAAAUUGGAUAAAAAAAUAAAUGCAAUAAAAUAAUCAAGGAUGAAAUUGAAAACUAAUAAAUCAAGAAAAGGAUAAAACACCAAAAAAGAGUAAUCAAAUUAAUGAGGACCAAAUUAGAUACAAAAAAUAAAUUAAAUAAAAUUCUCAGAGAUGAAAUUGAAAAAAAUAAUCUAAAAUCCAAAAAGCAUUAAAAGCAAAACAAAUAAUAAUUGAUAUAAUGAGAGCCAAGAUUGAUAGAAUCCCAAAAUGGAGGAUAUAACUAUUUUUUGGAUGGGCUAACAUGAAUUUCUAGCGAAAAGAGAGAAAAGAGAGGGAUAAAAAAGGCAUGCUAGAGGUCAACCGUGCCUCCGCCACAAGCAUGCACCACACUACUAAAAAGCAAACGAUACGCCUCUCAUAAUGUUGGCAUGUAUGGUGAAAUUUGAUAACCAAAAGGCCUUACACGCGCCUCUCAUGGGAAUUGUCUCGUGUUGAAGCGUCAACAACUUUUUUUCUAAUAAUAUUUAAUUUUUGAAAAUAACUAAACAACUCUAAGGCCAACCUAAAAAUAACAAAAUAAAAAAACAUAAGUAAAAACCAAAAAUACCCUUGAAAUCAGGCGUAUGAUGUUUUUAUUUUUGUUUUAAGGAUAAUAUUGUGACUUUAUUGUUCAAAAAAUUAAAAAUAUAAAAAAUCCCCAUGUGCUAGUUUAAUGUUUAUUGUGACAAUAUUAUUUUAAGGGUAAUAUUGUGCUAGUUUUAUUUUAAGAAAAUUCUACCCCUACUAGCUAGGCUUUUGGUUUGUGUGCAGAAGGGGAAAACAAUUCAUUGUCUCACAGCUACAGUAAAUGCUUGAUCUCUUUUAGGGUUUUUUGAUAUAUAUAAUUAACGAUUUUAAGUGGAAUGGGUAUUGUAUUCAUUUCCUUGUUAUUUUAAGUAGGUAUUCAAGUGUUGCUUUGUUCAUCCUAAUAACCAAAACCUAAAACUUGAUUUGGUCGAAAAUAAAUCUAACCCCACAAAGGAUAUAAUUUUUAUUUAUUUAUUCUCUUUUAUGUUUUUAAUUUAGCCUCCAACAAGAUUCCAAAGACUAGAGAACCUUGAUUCAACAAAAUCCCAACCUUCCUUUCUCCAAAAAUGGGUUUUGCUGCUUUGGAACUUGACUUGGAUGAAAUGCAUGCGGGACUCCAGUAACAAAAAGAUAUAACCAUACUAAACCAUGAAAUCAUGCGAAAGAAAUUGUUACAAUCAUUGGUUUUUUUAUUCAAUUUGGGUUUGGGAGGGGAGAGAAAUGGAUUGUUUAGUGAGAAGAUUUUUAGUUGAUGAGAGAUAAGAAGUUAUUUAUUGUUUGGGUUGAUUUUUAAUAUAAUAUAGGCAAGGAUAUUUAGGUAUUUUUUUAAAUUUAGAAUUUUCUUUUGACUUAGGAUACAAAUUCUAAUUUUUUAAAACUCGAUAAGUAAAUGAAAUUUUAACUAAAUUAUAGGAUGCUAAGGGUAAUUUUUUCUUUAUUAAUUAGAAUAUAAUAGGAAUUUUGUAAGUAGUUUAAACUAUUUUGUUAACUUUGUUUUAGCGAAGAUGUAAAAUACUAUACAACUUAAAAAUUUAUUGACUUUGGAUAUAAUUUUUUUAAAAAAAAUAAAGAUAAUGUGAAAAAAUAAUUACAUUAUAGAUAAAAAAUUACAUUUAGCAUCCUAAUGUUUGAUCUGAAAUACCAUUACCUAUUGUAAUUUUUAAAAAAAAAUUAUAUUUUGAAAUUCAAUGAGAUGACUACAUUUCCAUUAUAUAUAUAAUUAAAAUGAAAAUUAACCAAACAAUAGAUUAGUAGCUUUGUUACCCUCUCUCUCUUUGACCAAAUCAUCCCCCCUCUUUCUCAAUUACAUUUUGCUCUCAUCAUGUGAGCGCAAUUCGAACCCAAAUUGAAAUAUUUCAUCUAAUUCGAGAUCAUCAACAACCAUUUAUUUUAUUUUUUCAAAAUGUUUUAAUGGUUACUUGAUGGUAUUUUGGUUAUUUUUGAGUUUGAAUGACUCUUUAAUCAUUAAAUAAAUUACAAUAAUAAAUCUAUAAAUAAUUAGAUAUUUUUUAUUGAUAUUUUUAGAAAAUAUAUUAAGGAUUAGUACUUCUAUAAAUUUAAUAUCAAAGAUAAUUUUCUCCAUUAUAGAAGUAUAGAUUACUUUUAUCCUCAAAAACAAUUUCUUUUGGUUGAGGUUGAAAAAUAAAAGACAAGGUUUGUUUAUCCUUACGUGAAAGGAUACAUAUCAAACCCAUACAGACCACUAAAUCUUGCUUUACAGAUAAAAUUAACUCAAAGCAAUGACAUGACUCUCUCUUCAUCAGACACUCAUUGAAAUUCCAACGCAAACAGCCAUUGACAUGCAACUGUUAGACUACAUACAUCCUUCAAACUCCGCGACUUGUUUUUCCCUUUGCAUAAAGCAUAGAUGUUAAAUCGGAAUGGAAGAUUUACAUGGAAAACUUAGAAUUUCAAGUUUAACCAUAGCCAAGUUUUUAGUGUAAAAUAUAGUUGUUAAAUCUGGCAUGAUUAGCAGAUUUACUUGAAUUUUAGUUGAAUCGGAUAAAACAAUGACCUAAUAAACUCAACUAGAUUUUUAAUAAUUCGAGUAACCUUUCCAGACUUAGCUGAGUCAACACACAAAAAAUGACCUAAUAACCAAACUUUUUGUUGGGUAAGUACUUAAAUCGAGUAUCACAAAUAAGUAAUUUGAUAGACAAAUAAGUAGCACUAAAAUUGUCACACCAAAUCGUAGGCACAGAAGACUGAGUAAUUUGCAGAUCUGACAAUAAAUGUAACAUCCACAUUUCCAGGACCAACACGUUAAUCAUAUAAGGGGAAAACAUGGUGAUUUUUUUUUUUUUUUUUUGCUGAAUUCAUACAAGCUUUACCGAAAUUUUAGCAAAGUUUCUUCUAUAUCAAGAGGUCCCAAGUUAUCGACAAUUAUCUUGUAUGCAUCUAUCAUUUAUUGUUCAACCAUAUCUCAAUCAUUCUAAGUCUCCAACAUCAAUUUAUUCAAGAGUACAAGCACAAUAUCUCAAAUAUCCAUCUUUUAAAGUCGACCAUAAAUUAAUUCUUAGAUAAACGAAACAUAAAUACAUUAAGAUUAUAAGUACAUAAUAAUACAAUUUACGUUCAGACAUUUAAUUUAAAGGAAGCUAUUACAAUUCAAGUCAUAUAGUUCCUUGAAAGACAAAAUACAUCAACGUUCAUUUAGCUUUUUUUAAAUAACACAAAAGAAAACUAAAGGAUCUAAAAUAUUACUCUUGUCGUGAAUAUAAUGGACCUGCAACAACAUAAUAUUUGGAAAUAAUUAUAUUAAGAGCAAUAAUAUCGUAGAAAAGAGAAAUCAAACAAUAUAUAUAUUAAUUCAAUGCUACGAACUUUCAUAAUUCCUUAUAAUUCCCCAUUUAAUCUCCUUCUAAUACUUCUAAAUAUAUCCUUCUAGGAAUCACCAAACAUUCUCAUUUCAUUAAUACUAUCAAACUAUUCUCCACCGAAAAUACCAAUUGUACCACUUCUUUCCAAAACAUGGGAAGGGUAAUGCCAACACUAAUGAAUCUCAUUAGUGUCAUUAGUCAUCCUUGUCGGGACUGACUAAUCACGUUUAUGGUAAUGUUGACAUCAAUGUAGCCAAUUGAUGUCAUUAAUUAUUUCCAACCCGAAAUAAUUAAUCAAUUUUCCAUAAUACCUUGGAAUAUUUCUGGGAAUGCUGAUGUCAAGGUUUAUUGACAUCAUUAGCUUUCACAUCAAGAAUAGCUAAUCAAGUUUCAUAAGUUUGCUAAUAUUGACAUCAUCUGUCGAUAUCAUUAACUAUUCUUAACCCGAAUAGUUAAUCAAGUUCAGUAUUCCUCAUUCUCUGCAAUGGUCAUGUCGAUGUUAGCAAACUUUAUUAACAUCAUUAGCCUCCUAUAUUUGGGACCGGCUAAUCAAAUCCAAGAAGUGGUUAUUAGGGAAAUUCAUUACUACAGUUCAUUAUUCUCAUUCAAAACCAUAAAUCAAAUCUGAUUUCAUUUCUCAUUCAUUUCAUUUUAUCUUUUCUCAUUUUGGUUUCAUCCGUAGGCAUAAGAUCCAUGAAUUGAACAGAUUACUAAAAUUACCAUUAUUUAAGGAAAGUAUAGGUAUAGAGUACCUACUUGUUGUAGAAGCUCGGCUCGUGCUCCCUUGCUGUUGUUGUUCCCUUCUUACGGUUCCUCCUGAAUCUACAAGCAUACUAUAUUAUUCCUUACUUAAGUCACAUUUCACAAAAUAACAACAACAAUAAUGUUUAUUUUCCUUUUUCAAUUGUUUUUCUUACAUUUGCGUUUCCAUUACAUCUCUUAAGAUUACGGUUCAUUAUCAAAUCAUAACUAACAUCACAAUUUCAAAUUCAAAAAUGGCUUAUCCCUUUCAAACUUCAAGACAUGACGCUACACAUUUUUCAAAGGGAAGGAAAUUGGAUUAUGCCCCUAACAUGACUAAAUUUACUUGUUUUUCCAAUUUUCUGAAUCUACCAACAAAGGCGGCAGCUCGACCUCUCCGCAUAUAUUUACCUAUAUCUGGAGUUCUAAAGCUCCAAAUUAAGCGAGGUUGGAUUUGUUGGAAAGCUAACAUUCCUGGCUAUAACUCUCUGGAACCAAGGUGAUGAAUUUGCUCAAUUUUGUCAAAAGUUUUUAGAUGAACUUUCAAUUAUCUCCAUUUCCCUUUCUUCUCUUGAGACAACUAUUUCUACAUUUCGCAACUCCUUCUAAGAUAUGUCAUAGGCUAUACAUAAGGUUAAUACCCUCGUUUCCCCUUCACAUAACUCACGCAUUUGACUUAUGAAGUUCCCUACUACCAAGUUAUCAUGUUUUCCCUCAUUAGUAAACUUUCACCACACCUAAUUCAUGCAUCAUUAACAUAUGACAUCCCAAAACUCUCUCUCUCUCUCUCUCUCUCUCUCUCUCUCUCUCUCUCUCUCUCUCUCUCUCUCUCUCUCUCUCUCUCUCUUCAAUUUGGUCUUGGCCGAAACUUGGCCUAAGGGGACUAAGGGUCCCUUUUUCCUUUCCAUGCAAUUAUUUGUCUCAUUUACUCAUUGUUCACAUCAUAACGACAUAUCACAAAGUUUUAUCAAGCAAAAUUCAGAAUUUAUUUUCCUCUUAUUCAACCCUCACAUGGCUGGCCACUCAUGUCCCUUGGUCAUUGAUUUUUUUUUCUUUGGUAUUCUUGCAUGAUAUCAUAUUCAAGGUAAUUUAUAACACUUCAAUUAACCUAAUUCCAACAAAUUCUACAAUUCUCUUAAAUUUCACUUAAGAACUCUAAUUUUUAAAUUAUAAAAUUGGUGCACAAUUCCUAAUCAAAUUUUAAAUUGGUUUUCACAAUUAGGUUUAGGGCCCUUUCCUGAAACAAAUUUGGAUUUCAACUCAAAUUUAGUUAAAGAUUUUUAGCUCAUCUCUCCUUGCAUGCAGCCGACCCUCUCCUUUUUUUUUCUCAUAAUUUCUUCACUUGUUUCCUGGUUAAUUUCUUUGUUAAGGAAUGUUCUCUCUACUUAGAGGUCUAAAGUUUGUAUACCCUAAUAAUUUUGGUGGUGUUUUGCUCUCAAUUUUGAUGGAGGAAAAUUUGAAAUCCCUCUCUUCUUCUUGUCUUGGUGCAGCCAGCCACAUGAAAGAGAAAAUGGGGUAUUUACAGUCCCAUUCUUUCUUAAUUGCACUUUGGCCCAUUCACCCCCCCUUUACAAUUUGAGUUGUACUUCUUUUUAUUUUUUAAAAUCUCCCCCUUGGUAAUUGAAUUUAUUUGAUUUUCUUCAUACAUUUAACUUCCACCUUUUCUUAUUGUAUUUUUUUGCAAAAGUUUAUUCUCGGGGUUUACAAUAAAUAUCGAAGCCAUAUGACCUCAGAAGUGUCAUUGGCUAAGGCUUUAUACUCAGCCUCGAUAGAAGAACGAGUCACGGUACGUUGUUUCUCUGACUUCCAAGAUAUCGAUGUAUGUCAAAAGAAAACAUGAUAGUCACCCAUAGAUUUACAAUCAUCAAAACCACCAACCCAAUAAACAUUUGUAAAGCCAUGCAAGGAAAAGAAAAAGUUACGGGUGAUAUGAAGACCAAAGGAAACUGUACCUUUAAGAUAACGAAGAUUGUGUUUAACGACAGCCUAAUGUGCAUCUGCAGGAGCAUGCAUAUACUGACAGACUUUGUUAAUAGCAAAACAAAUGUUUGGUCUUGUAAAAAGUGAGAUGUUGAAGAGUGCCAACAAUUUGUUGAAAACAUGUAGGAUCAGAAAACAAGCAAUCAGACACUUUAACAACCUUUGAUGUAGUAAUAGAAGUAUUAACAGGCCUGCAAGAAGACAUACCUGCCUAAUGAAGGAUGUCAAGAAUAUACUUAUAUUGUCAUAGCAUGAUACCCAUAGUGGUAGGAUGAACCUCAAUGCCCAAAAAAUAAUGAACAACUCUUAAAUCCCGAAGCUUAAACUCUAAGCUUAGCAAUUGAAUCAAUUGGUGAAGCAAGAUUGAAUUGCUUCCAGUUAAAAAAAAUAUCAUCAUCCAUAAACAAAAUGAAUAAUGAUGUGUCAACCUUAGAAGCAUGAAAGCCAAUAGAGAAAAGAUAAUCACUAAGCUGAGUGUACUAUGCUCAAGGAGCUUGUUUCAAGCCAUACAAAGAUUUAUACAACUAACACACAUGAGAAAAGAAAUUAGAAUCAACAAAACCUGGAGGUUGUUGCAUGUAGACCUCUUCAUCAAGUGUCAAAUUGAGAAAGAUAUUAUGAAUAUCAAAUUGAUUAAUUUUCCAAUCAUGCAACACCGCGACUGUGAAAAUUAACUGAACAGUGGCUUGCUUAACAAUAGGACUAAAAGUCUCAAAGUAAUCAAUACAUUCCUUCUAACUAAAACUUCUAGCAACCAAUCGAGCCUUAUAGUGUUCAAUGAUGUCAUCGACAUGACGCUUGAUCUUGUACACGUAACGAUAACCAAUAACAUUCAUCGAAUGAUGAAAAAAAACUAAAAACCAAAUGUUGUUAGAACACAACACCUGAAUUUCAGUCGUCAUAGCAUCUCGCCAAGCCCCAUACCUGUCAGCAUCAUAAAAAGUAAGUGGUUCAUAGGCAGAACUAAAGAAUUCUCGAGAUUUAUGAUUGUUAGAGGAGGCUGAAUAAGCUGUUAGAUUGGUUUUUUUGGCAGCCGUGAAUGAAGAACUAUAUAAUAUCGACGAACCAUAGACGACGAGGCAGGGAGAGCUGAUCUCGAAUGAUGUUGUAAUGGAUAAGAAAAGAGGUCAACAACCAAAUUUAAUCUAAUAACAGAGGUAGACUAAGAGGUAGAGCUUGCAGUAAAGGCAUCAUUGUUAGAAAUUGAAGCACCAGCAGUGGGAGACCUGGGAGAACCAGCAACAUCAAACAUGUCAUGUUGCAAUUUAGAAGGGGUUGAACAUGUACCUGUAGUAUGAUUAUUAGAGAAACAUACAUGUGGUGACAUAAGAGCUAAUGGGUUGUUAUGAGGUGGUAGAAACAAGAGGCUAAGAGGUUACAAGUAUAGGAUUGUGAAAAAUUAGUGAGGUAAGGAAAUUAGACAAAUUGGUAGAAUUGUUAGGAGAGGGAGUAGGGUCUAGUUGUGUAAUUUGUUCAUAUUUGUCAAAAGAAAACACAUGUUCAUGAAAAUAGACAUGACGAGAAAUAUAAAUUCAUUGAGAUGCGAGAUCAAAACAACGAUAACCAAGAUAAAAAGAGCUAUAACCUAAAAAAAAAUAUGGAUAGGAACAAAAAUCUAAUUUAUGAUUAUGAUAUGGACGCGGACACGGAAACGGAAAACAAAGACACUCAAAAGUACACAAAAAAUCAUAAUCAGGAGAAUGUUGAAAAAGAAAAUUAAAAAGGGCAUGCGAUUGAUAAGAUAAUACAAGGUUUCAAAAGUGUAAUUCCAAAACCUCAAUAGUGCUUUACAUUGGCCGAGAAUAGUAAAACCAGUUUCUAAAAUAUGCAUAUGACGACGUUCAACUAUGUCAUUUUGUUCAUGUGUAUGAGGACAAAUUAAACGAUGAUGAAUAUGAAUUGUUUGAAAGAAAUUAUGGAACUUGCAGUAUUCACCACCCCAAUCAAUUUGAAAAAAUUUAAUUUUAGCAAAAAUUAGCACUCAACCAAAGUUUAAAAUUGAUGAAAAACAGAGAAGACAUUAGAUUUCACAACAAGAGAAUAAUAUCAUAUAUAUUUUGUAUGCAUAUAACAAAAACCAUCAAAAAGAAAAAAAAAGGAGUACGACCCCAAACAUCACUAAAUAUUAAGUGAAAUGGAGCAGGAGUUUUGUGGCCUGUAGGUCCUAAUGACAGACACAACGACUUUCCUAAUAGACAAGCUUAACACCGAAAUUGAAAACUUUUAGAGAUACAAGCAAUUUUAUCUUUUGAUACUUAAAAAUUAAAAACAGGGAAGUAGGAUGACUCAAUCGACAAUGUCAUAGAUCAGUAGAAGUAGAGACGCAAGGAGACCAAUAAACUUGAGGAAUUGACAUGAUAGAAGACUUGAAAAAAAAACAUAGAGACCAUCUUUACUCUUACUAGAAAGGAGAAGUGCCUUGAGGUUGAAAUCUUUAAUAUAAAACACAAAUGGUUGAAAUGCAAAAUAAACAUUAUUAUCAAGAUAAUUUUUUGAACAGAAAGCAAUGGCUUUUGAAUAUGUGGUACAUGAAGAACAUUGGAAAAGUGAAGGUACAUUUUGGUGUAUAUAACUUAGUAUGCCUAAUAUUAGAUGUGGAAAGGCCCUUACCAUCACUUACAUACAAGUGAUUAUUAUCGAGAUAUGGUUCGAAUCCUAUCAGAUUUGCAAGAUCAGGUGUGAUGUGUUGAUUCGCACUAGUGUCAGGAAACCAUUCUACAGAAUUUGUUAAGGCAACAUUGUUGAGCAUAAGAUUGGCAUUAGGCUAUUGUCAAUGGCUUUGAAGUUGAGAAUAGUAGGGGGUGGAAUGAUCGAAGGUUUGACACCUUUGGCACUUAACAUUAGACCAUUGUGAAGAGCCAUUAUUUCAUUAGUUUAGUUAUGAAUUACCCCGCCUCUAGUUGUUGUUUGAAACCUAUAGAAACUUUGAAAAUCAAACCUGGCAUUAAUGUUGUUACGAUUGUUAUUAUAAUGUUUACACUAGCCUCCAUGAGAUCAUCCUCUUCCAUUACUGAAAUUAUAAUUGUUGUUAUACGAACCAGAGGGCUGACGUUAAGCAACAUGAGCUGAUGGUGGCUAAGCUGGUAUGGGCAGUAAAGAAGUAGUGAUAGCAGCACCCAUGAAGUGAAGAGAGGUAUUGUGAAUGAACUCAUGAGUAAGAAGAUGACUAUGAAGAUCAGCAUACAAAAGAGGUUCUAUCUUGGUCAUGAGGCUUGUUACCAUGUACUCGAACUCACCUCAAAGACAACGAAACAUGUACAAAUUGAAAUCCUUUAGCGAAAUUAUUCAGUCAGCAGUGACUAAUUCAUCAAACAUGCCUUUGCUUUUUUGCAUAAAUACAGUGACCAAAUCAUCACCCUGAUGAAGAUCUUGAAAAAACCAUGAAGUUGCAUAAUACAAGAAUUAAACGGAAAAGCAAGGGCUUACUCAAAAGUACACCAAACACAGUGCGAGGUUUGGAAAUCGACAACAAAAUAUAGUACAUCCAUUGAAAGAGAAGAAAGUAGUGCAUCGAGAAUAAGUUGAUAAUGUUGUUUCCAAAGAAGAAAAGAAUUAUUAACUGAAAAGAAGAAUCAUCGACAACAACCAUAUAAGGAGGACACGGCUAAAAGUCAUCAACAAAAGGGAAAACACCUUGUCUAAUAAGAUAUGGCUUCAUCUGCAUUCGUCAAUAAAGAUAAUUUGUGUUUGUAAGCUUCAAAGAAAUAACUUGAUGAGUAUUGGAGAAACUACCAGAAUUCUUUAAAAUACCGAUGGAAUUUUUUGUUAGUAUGUAUACUCUCCUUUCAUUGGAAAGAAAUUUACCGAUGGACUCACCGAUUUAAAUGCUUCGUCUGUAAAACUCUCUUCGGUAAUUUUGGGUAUGUUGGUGAGUCCGUUGGUAAUAAAAUUACUGAUGGAUUUACUGACGGAAAAAGCACACAAAAAAAAUUACCCGUUUCAUUUCUUUGGUAUUUCCCUCGGAAAUUUUGUCAUAUAACCAACAAAAAUAAUGUAUGUAAUUUCAUCGGUGAUUAAACAAUGGAAAAAUGGCAUUUGCAGUAAUUUUUUUUCAACUCUCUAGAAUAUACCAAUGGACUUAAUUCAUCGAUAAUAUUGUUAGUAAUUAUUUAAAAAUAUUUUAAAAAAUAUAUAUUUAAUAGAAGUAGAAAAUAAUUAAAAUAAAUUAAAUUAAUAUAAAUCAACACUCCAUAAUACUCAGGAACUGAGUUGUUUGGAAAAAAGAAGAAGAAAAUCAACUCAAACAAAUUUGCAACAAAUAAAUAACACAAAAAAAAUAAACAACAGCAACAAAUAAAUAAAUCAACUAAAAACAAUUCCACCUAACCUAGAAAACCUAUUUCAAAACCCAUAAUCCAGUAAUAAAUAAAUAAAUUUAAUUGAAAUUCAACAACAAAAUUGAAAACAAAAUUAAACCAAAAUCCAAUAAAAUUGAUCUCAUUUGAAAAACAAAGUCCUACAAUAAUAUUCAUACAAUUAUUAAGAACAGAAAAAUUUAGAAAUUAAAAAAAAAUAUAAUGCAAGAAAAAAACAUUAAAAAGAAAAGCCUUAUCUUAAUUUAAUUGUGAGUGAAGCUGAAAAGAAAAAAGAAAAAACAAAUUCAUAAAGUAUGUUAAUUAAUAAAAAAACUGACAAGAGAAAAGAAGAAGAGAUGAGAAGACAUAUUUGUGCGUGGAGGAGAAGAGAAGAGAAGAGAAGGAGUUGAGAAGAAGAGAGAAAGAAAGAAAAGGAUGUUGGUGUCAUUUAUAUUUGCCAAUUUUCUGGUGGUGAGAAGGAAAUAAUGCUUGCAAUUGAAGGCUCCAUGGUGGCAAGAUUCACGAUAGCAGCAGCAAGGGAAGGUUGCAUGGUAGCAGCAGCAGGGAAAGGUUUCAAAGUAGAGGGAGAAGAAAAAGACUGAGGAUUCACGACAGCAAUAGGAGAAGCUUCCAAAGCAAAGGGAGAAGAAGUUUGCACCAUAGGCUGAUACGAAGAGUCCAUUGGAGAGGAGAAAAUAGAGUUUUAAAGUGUAAUGGCUCUGAUACCAAGUUGAAAAUAAUAGAAGGCUUAAUCUAUUAGGUAGCAAACCUUUCUUAUUUAUAUAUAUAAAACAAUGUACAAUAGUUAAUGCAGAGAUUACAACACACAAGUCUUUAAUACAUAAUAUACUAUAAUAUUAGAUUACAGGAACAUUUAUUCUCUUCAGAAGUUCAGAUGGUGUACAUACUCUCACAAUUUUCAAAAACUUCAAAGGCAGCUGAAAUCCAAGAGCAGCUAGCAGCAAGACAACAUGACAUGGCAGCAUGCCUUCUACACAGCUUUCCAUGAUGAAAGAGGUGGAGUAUCUGAAUCCUUGAAAGUAGAGAAUCCAUCGUCAGACCUAUGUCCCCUUACAGCAUUUGAAGAAGCGAUUGAUUCGAGUUCAGCCAUUUCUUCUAGUGUUAGUCUUACAGACAGAGCUCCAACAUUCUGGUUGAAGUUUUCGAUCUUGGUGGUUCCAGGAAUAGGACAUACAUCAUCACCCUGAUGGUGUAACCAGGCCAAAGCCAGCUGCGAUGAAGUGCAUUGUUUCCUUGCUGCAAUUUCAUUAACCCGCUCAAAUAAUUGUCUAUUAUGGUCCAGAUUUUCAGGUCGGAACCUAGACAUAUCCUGAAACAAUUGAAAAAACAACUCAUCAACAAGAAAUCAUCAUAGAUGGGCGGUUUAUGCAUAGCAUUAUUCCAUAGGUACUUGUAACAUGUCCUCCUUGCUCAAUGUUUGAAAUUAGGACCAGCUUUGCCAAAGCAAAAUAUUCCCAGCACAAAAUGCUAAUCAUCAUCAUAUUGUAUACUACGCAGGUUUUAUGGGUACAAACAUGCAAAAUUUCCAAGCUACAAGGCGAGUGAGCAGAUUUUAGGAAGCCAAAAAUACUGAAGAUUGACAAUUAGAGAAAGGAUGUCAGCUACCCAUGAGUUUGUGUUCCUCUAGCUAGUCCUCUUUUUAGUACAUAACUGAGUAAUCAAAAGAUAUAAGCGAAACAUUAAGCAUGCAGAAUUUUUUGUUUGGACAUGGGACAAAUAAAGCCACCUGUCUAAUACAAGGAGAUCCUGUAAAUCUGUGUUUUAUUUGAUUGAAUCUUUAAGCAAUCCAAAUGUAUAGCAUAUUUGUAGGAAUAAUGCAAAUGUGAAAGAACUGCUAGGUAAAAUAUAAUGAUCUCAAAGCUAAACUUUUACUUUGUACAAGUUUCUUCUAUGGAGUUUAAACCACCAAACCACUCUGUAAGAUAGAAGAGACUGUUUUUCAAGGCUUAGAUAGGUUUAGUUUUAUAUUAUUUUCUAACAUUUGUGACAUCCUUUAGAAACCGUAAAAGAUUAUGCUUGUGCAAUUGAUUAUUUACUGGACAUGUGUUAUAUUGAUCACAAACUCUAUAUUCAAAAAGAAGAGAACCUACCUUUCUGUAAUCACCCUCUGAGAAGCUCUCAACCAACUUAGGCCCAGUUGAAAAGAAUCCCCGUCCUAGAGGACUGUACACAACAAUCCCAAUGCCAAGUUCUCUGAACCAUUAGAAUGAUAAGUUCAGAAUCUGGAUAUCUAAGGCAUCCCAUAAACAGCCUAAGGUUUCGGUUAUUUUGAUCUCCAAAGGAAAUUAGCUUUUCUGAUCAAUGCCUCACCUGCAGGUAGGAACAAUCUCUUCCUCCACAUCUCUUGACCACAGUGACCACUCCAACUGCACGGCUGUUAUCGGAUGAACAGCGUGAGCUCUUCUGAUUGUUGAAGCAGAGGCCUCAGACAGACCUAUAUACUUUAUUUUACCUUCUUCAACUAGUUUCUUGAGUUCCCCCAUCUAGCAAAGAAAAGAAUUAUGAGUGCACCACUGCAAGACAUUUUUCAGCUAGAAUGCAGGGACAGUACCCAAUAGUAGCAUUGUCAGAAUCCAGCUACGAAAGAGACCAUUGCAAGAUGUCAAUGCACAUAAUAAGCAUGACGGUAUCAUCAAUACCGUGUCUAAUCUAUAAUUUUAGUGGGUUUAUGCUCAAGUUUUAGGAUUUUUGGAUAUUCCUGUAACAGAUUCUGGAAAACGUAUAAUCAAGUAAAAGCAAAAUUCUCUAAAUAUCAUCAUGGCCAUCGAACGAUCAAGAUAAAUCGAAAUACCGUAGCUUCAAUAGGAACGCUGGUAUCAAUGCGAUGUUGGUAAUAAAGAUCAAUGCAGUCAAGUUGAAGGCGUUUCAAGCUGGCCUCGCAAGCAGCUCUCACAUAAGCAGGAUCCCCUCGAACCUCCGCAUUGCCGUCCUUAAAGCUGACGCCAAAUUUGGUUGCUAAUUCAACUCUCUCUCGGAAUCCUCCCGCCUUCAAGGCCUUGCCCAGAAGGAUUUCGUUGGUGUGGGGUCCAUAGACAUCAGAGGUGUCGAGUAAAGUGACCCCGGUGUUGACCGCAUGGUGGAUGAGGGCGAUCAUGUCCGAUUCAGGCUUUGGAGGGCCGUAGAAGGCAGACAUGCCCAU
Molecule: long non-coding RNA, 49946 nt
Filed under: Populus trichocarpa (black cottonwood)
Lineage: Eukaryota; Viridiplantae; Streptophyta; Magnoliopsida; Malpighiales; Salicaceae
Description: long non-coding RNA (PTRI_LNC000766)
Source: RNAcentral